AUCUAAUGAUACUUAGUUAGUACCAUAAUAAUUAUUAUUUUAUAAUAUAAAUUUGAUUAAACUUAAAAAAAUUUCACUCUCCAAAAUUCGAGUGACUCGGAAUACUAAAGAUAGAACUGGCGCCGCAAGUAGAUGCACACAGGCAUCGGUGGCUGCAGUAGUUCGAGUGUGCCUCAACUCUCUCUCUAUUUUUUUUUUUUUUUGUUUCAGGCAUCACUUUAGCUUCACACUACGGAAGGCCUAAGCUAGCUAGUGAACAAUUGCACGAUGCAUGGUGGUAAAAUGACCACCUUGCUCUGCACGUAUAUAUGCCGCCUGAGUAGCAAAAAAAAUGAUCAGAUCCGUCGACCUCGCACCGAAAUGCCUACGGCGUGUGCCUUUUAGACAGUUAACACCAAAGUAUCUUGCAUCUUAUAUGGACCAAAUUGCAAACUAUGAGAACAAUAUUGAUGAGAAUACCAGCCGUGGGGCAGUACCAUAUUACAACAUGGCGAACUUUGCAAACUAUGAGCACAACAUUGAUUGGAAUGCUGUUGGGCAAUAACUAUCACAACAUCCAGAAAAUGUUGAUUUGUUGACGUUAACAACUAAGGAUAAUUAACACAUUAGAUUAGAAUAAAGCUUGCAUGGUUGAUGUCUUUUUUCUUAUAAACAUGCAUACUUGUUUGCUAAAGAAUCAAUUAUACAUUUCAGCUUACCUUGAAGUAAGCUAUCUGCACACAAGUGAGAAACAUAUUGCUUAAAAAAAAUCAACACGUACCUUUUUGUUGCAUAGCAUUUGUUGCAUUGUUGAACUUUUGCUCUGUGAGGACACUUUAGAGACAGGAAAAUUUUGUGGAAAAAAAAAAGAUUCCAGAAAGCACGAAGCUUCGUGGAACCUCGUCCCCCGGCCAAUGCAAUUGUAAUACAACCAGUUUUGGCAAAAGAUAUAUGGCGGGCAAGUUCACCACCGCAUCCUAUCUUACCAAAUAUGUGAGCAUGUAGUGUCACUGUAUUCACUGCAACGUGACUGACCAAAAUGCAUGAUGACGACAACUUAUACAGAAGCUAGCAGCUCGCUGAUCUAGCUGGUUGUUGGACAUACGUAUACUCCAGCGUACAUCCAUCCUCAAGAGCGCAACUAUAUGCAAACAACAUUCGAUCAAUUAAUUAUUCGUCUUCAUGCCAGUCUCAAUGCAUGUUUAUGAGAGUGUCAUGCACAUUAAAUAUGAUGCCACAUAAGCAAAAUUGCUGACUUGGCAGAGUUAUUAAAUGAAGGAGUUUCAUCAGAUGAGAGAGGAGUUUCAUCCCCAUGAAACUCUUGUGGCUCGGUUAUCUAGUUUAUAGUCUUAGUAACAUGAAACUAUGUAUUGAGACUAGCCCCUCACCUGAUCGUAUCUCCCUCUACGUACGUCGUCUGUAACUUCUUCAAGGAUGCCGAGAGCAUUUAUAUCGUGAAUACAUCGAGGUCGAGGAUGAUGUAACUGAUCAUAUGGGGAAAAGGUCGCAUGCUCCAAUAGUGACUCCCCACUGGUGGUUCAUUGUCAGCACUAAACUGGUACCAGGUGUGUGCAGUCCGUUUAUUUCAAUUCGAUCAUUGCGUGAAUUCAACAUUGAUAAACAACCAGAGAUGUUUCCAAGUGUGAAACCAAAUUAAAACAUUGAUGAUAGGCAGGUUCAGCUAACUAGCGCUACGGUACACAUGUGUCUAUGUAAGUAUAUUAAGGUAUGCAUGCAUGUGCAGCGCAUUGCCCUAUGCAGUAUAUCUCUGCCUCUGUGUCUCUAUCUCUACAUCAGUAAUUAAUAAUUAACAGGGUACAAAUAAAAACCAUAACGACACACUGUUCAUCUUAUUAACCUGGGCGGCCCGUCUUCAGUAAAAAGGUGCUUCAUGAUCACAUAUGAUCUCUGCCUCAAAAGAAAAAGAUCACAUAUGAUCUCAUGUCUAAUUUCAUUAACGCACCAUAACUAGUACUAAUCAGUACCAUAUAUGGAUGCACAUGUAUAUGCAUGCUGGGUAUCUGAUAGCUCACUACAGGAAACGGGAGCUUUGCCGAGGGCUCAGCUUUGCCCAGAGUCAGCUCUCGGCAAAGACCGCCUUUGCCGACAGCCAAAAAGGACCCUCGGCAAAGAGCCUUUACCGACGGCUAAGCUCUCGGCAAAGCCAGGCCCUCGGCAAAGGCCAGCUUUGCCGAGUUGCUAGCGCUCGGCAAAGAUAGGCUCUCAGCAAAGGAGCCGCGCCGGGGACGGCAUCCGUUGUCGUCACCUUUGCCGAGAGCCACGCCGUUCGGCUCUCGGCAAAGAGGAUGUCUUUGCCGAGCGCCUUGUCAAGCUCUCGGCAAAGAAGAAAGAUUUUUUUUAGUUUUGGAUCCAAAUUUUUUCUGUAACCCUUGCAUAUUGUAUACAAGCACAUGUUCAAAUUUGAGAGCUUUUUAUAACAUUUUGCUAUAUUUUAUCAAUUAAAUUAUUUUCUUUGUAUUUUUCUCGUAAAAGUAAAUUUGAACUGUAAGAGCAUGAAAUAAUAAAAUAUAGUCAUUAAAAAAAUGAUAUUCAUGUUCAAGAGUGCAUUUUGAUGUUGUAUCCAUAAACUCACCCAAAAGUUUGAAUUUCUUGUAUACAAAACAUGACCAUUCAUGUGUCGUAGAAGUGAUUUUUAAUUAUAUAAAUUCUAAAUGAAGUCCAAAAAUCACGAAACUUGACGACGUGUCAUGUUAUCGCAUGUGAAGGGUGUGGUAAAAAAUUCAUAAGGUUUCAAGUAAGUUGUGAUACUGGAUGUCUAAAACCUAGACAUCUCCGCAUGUGAUCGCAUUUGAUCACAUGCGGAGAUAUCUAGGUUUUAGACAUCCGGUUGUCGCAACUUACUCGAAACCUUAUGAAUUUUUUACCACAGCCUCCCCCGUGCGAUAACACGACACGUCGCCAAGUUUCGUGAUUUUUGGACUUAAUUUGGAAUUUAUAUAAUUAUAAAUCACUUUUCUCUCACAUUCCUCGACAUGUUAUGUCAGCGCGAGGGUUGAGAUUUCAUGUGUGGUUGUGGAUACGGCCUGAACAUACACCAAAUAUCUUGACUAUCAUUUUUCGAAUCACUUAGUUCUAAUAUUUCAUGUACCUGCAGUUCAAAUUUGAAUUAUGUGAAAAAUUUAAAGAAAAAAAGAUUAAUUAGUUAAAUAUAGCAAAAAAAAAAAGUCAAAUUAAUGCCAAAUUUUGAAAUGUAUUUAGAAAUUGGGUCACAAGAACAUAAAAAGUCUUUGUCGAGCGCCUGCCUGUAUGGCUCUCGGCAAAGACCCCCUUUGUCGAGAGCCAGCCUGACGGGCUCUCGGCAAAGACAUUUUUUAAAAAAAAAUAAAUAGUCUUUGCCGAGAGCUUGUCAGCACGGCUCUCGGCAAAGACGACGUCAACAUUGACGUUCCUCGACAGCGCCGUGGGUUUUGCUGAGAGCAUUUCUGGCCUUCGGCAAAGUCUUUGCCGAGAGCCUGCCACGUGGCUCUCGGCAAAGAAUUCUUUGCCGAGAGCUUUUUGCCGAGAGCCACGUGGCAGUUGCCGAGAGCUUUUAGGCCUUUGCCGAGACCUCCUGGCUCUCGGCAAAGAAUACGGAUCCAGUAGUGGCUGAUACCACAAAUAAUCCAGUUCACACAGAUAUAUAGUUACUGAUCCGUAGGUCACAACUGAAAAGAGUCGAUAGGUAUAGCUAUCUAGAUGAUUGCUACUGGUAUGCGAAUUAACUGUACUAAUAAUAAUACCAGAUGGAUUAUUCGAGAAAGAAAAAUAAUACCAGAUGCAUGGAUGAUGAUGCACCAUAUAUGGAUAUGAUGUCACGAUAGCUAGCUACCUCGCUCACUUCUUCCACCGGCGUCCCUACUCGGCUACUCCUCUCCUCCACGUAGGACGAGGCCCACGAAGCAGAUGACGUCGACCACCCCGGAGAUGAAGAUGACCGUGGUGUUUCUCUCUAUUCUUAUGAAACUCUUAUCAUCUCUCUUCAUUAAUAUAUGUCAUAUAUAUCAACAUAAUUAAUGUUUAUAAAACUUAAUAAAACUCCAUGAUGAAGGAUGAUUAUUCAAGUUCUGGGGCGAGAGGUCAAUGUUUAUACAUGAUCUGAUCAUUUUUUGCUAUACUUCCAUGAGUCCAUGUCCGGGCAGCUGGCAGCUGGCUACCAUCGAUCAUGCACCUUGCAUCAUUGUUCACUACUCCUAGUCCUAGCUACGACUACGACCAUGCAAGUGCAGAUCAGAGCGCAUUAUAUUGCCCGAUAUAUCGUUGUAAAAAAUGGGAGACGACGGGGCUCGAUCUCAAGUCUUCUCAGGAGGUCUCAGCCUGUUCACACACCAUGACGUACUCGAUCACAUGGCCUAGCUAGCUCGUUCUGCUGCACGCAGAUAUCGAUUUCCAAACAAAAGCUAGCGCAUCUGCUCCAUCGUAUACGUACUAAUUAGCAUUUAACGUACGUGGUUGAUUGAAUAUAGGUGUUGCAUUGCAUUUGGAGUUGUGUACAUAAAACAUGCCUUCAUCGUCUUCAUUUUUAAUUAAUAGCUAUAUGCAUUAGUCGAUGCAGAAGCUAGAAUAUCCAUAUUUUUUUUCUAAAAAAUCAUCUCCAUUUUUACAUUUUCCCUAAUAUGACAUAUAUUGCAAGCAUAUAUAUUAAUGGAUAUGAGCGAGCUUGAAAAUGCGCAUCAAUAAUAAUGCAUGCAUGUCAGUGUACAAUGCACAACACCGGCACACAUGUACCCUAUGAUCCAUAUAUCUUAAUAAAUUGCAGUAAAAAUAUAAUAUCACCAAGUUAUGUCGAAGCAUAAUAUAGUAAUAGUAGUGUAUAUAUAUAUAUAUAUAUAUAUAUAUAUAUAUAUAUAUAUAUAACUGAUGAUCAUAUAUAGAGAAAAAGGUCCGAUGAUAAUACAUCAAAUAAUUAAAAGACUAGCUCCAUACAUACAUAUAUAGGAGUACGGGCUUCUUACUAUUCGUCAAUAUACUUAUGUAUUUCAAUCAGACCAUGAUCCCCCAGCUAGGUGAUGUAUCCGAUUAAUUAACAAUACACUGAUAGAUCCACACACAUAAGCACAGCAUUUGUCCUUAAUUAGAAUUAUUAAAUUACUCAUGCAUUUGUCCUCGUAAUGAGCUGAUGCAUGGACACUGGACACAUGGAGCUACUCCUCCUCGUCCUCCUCCUUCUGUUCAGCUCGUCCCAGGAGUAGCUUUAUGAAACUGAAAAGGUCGCCGACUGCGAAGAUGCAGAUGGUGACCGUGCAGAAGAUCCUGUAGAAGAGAUAUCCUGGGUCGGCUUUGAGGACGAGGCGGACGGCGGUGGCGUACAGGCAGUGACCGACGAUUGCGGCCGCCAGCGCGACGAUCGCUAUGCCGUAGCGGAUCCUACGGCGGCGGGACGGGACCAGCAGCACCAGCACCGCCGCGGCCGCCUGGAGCACCGCGCAGCCGAGGAUCGAGGUCCAGAGUGCGGCUUUCUCGGCGUUCUCCGCGUCCGUCAGGUAGACGCACCGCAGAACAAUGGAGGACUGCAAUGCAAUUAAGGUCGUCGGAUCGGAGCACGAGCACAGAAACAGGAAUCGAACAUAAUCAGCACACGAUCGACGAUGGAUUUCAGUCACAGUCAGUAAUCAGUAGAGUAGAAUGUGUAGAUCUCUGAAGAUGAGAAGAAUAUCUAGCAGACCGGGUCACAGGGGACGUGGAAGCAGGAGUAGAGUAUCCAGUCGACCGCGCGGACCAAGAUGAUGCACCAGGCAGCGAGCAUCGCCCAUGCGCUCACCAGUCGGACAGCGCCGCCGAUAGCCCGCGACGACGACGGAGGAGCGGCCACGGUCACAGCAGUCGUCACAGGCAGCUUGUUGUCGUCGUUGUCGCUCAUGGCUCCAAGGUCCAAGCUACUGUAUAUUUCAACCGGCAUGCAUGCAGUAGUAGAGAUCUCAUCAGUACGUAGACACAAAAUCAUACCAAUACCAACAACGUCCGGCUGGCCGGCCGGCCGGCAGAAGAUAAGAAGUGGGAAGGGGCCGGCCGGGCUCACCGUCGCCUAGCUUGGCGUGCUUCACUGCGGCUUCGAUCUUCGUCUGCAGGGGGGAUGGAACGAGGGCAGUGGAGGAGGUAGCUGAGCACGCGGGGACGAUGGAGUGGAGCAGCUUGAUGAGGGCUUUCCAACGGGAGUACAACAAAAGCACAGAGCCCCUUUCGCAGGACGACUGACUACUUGUAUAUAUGAUGAAGUAGCCAAGCAACAACGGCCAUUCGGCCACCACGCAACAAAGGCGAUGCCGCGUGAAGUUGGGUGGGGUGGCCACACCCAACACCUGCGACGUGUCAAAGCGAGAGCGCAUGCUGCACUACUUCCUUUGUCAUUUUCUCGAUUAUAUUCAGAGAGAGGAGGCAGUAGUGUGGUACCAUAGAUGCAUGUACUCGUUGAAUAAUUAUUGUACUGUAAAUGGGUUAAAUUACCAUGCAGCAGCAAGUGAAUGUGAUAAUGAUAUAUUGUUAGAAACUGUUGAAUACUUAUAUAUUGUACUAAAUGGGGUUAUAGUACAUGGAUGCAUGUGUGUUAUAAUUAGCAGCAUACACUAUUAAAAUUGUAGACUUCUUAUAAUAUUUUUAAAUAGUAAUAAAAUAAUAUCACUGGUCAUAGCGUAUGAGAAUUUCACUAGGAGAUAUGUUAUAGGAAAAUUUUAUAUUAAUUAUUAAAUGCUAAAACACUAGAAAAGUUCCACUUCGCUAGAGGAAGUUGGAAAUUCUAGUGGUAAUAGGUUUGGUGAGUUAGGAGUUCGCUUUCAUAACCUGAACAGUGCACAUGCUAUAGCGUAGCGUACACUCUCUCUAAGCAUCUUUCGUGUUCACGACUUCAGGUUGGCAGGAUGCUCACUCUCCCCUCUCUGUCUCUCCCUCACAUCCACUUAGGCCCUUGUUUAGUUGCAUAAUAUUUUGCAAAAUAGACACUAUAUUAUUUUUGUUUGCACUUGACAAAUAUUAUUCAAUUAUGGACUAACUACGCUUAAAAGAUUUGUCUCGCAAAUUACAGACAAACUAUGUAAUUAAUUAUUUUUUAUCUAUAUUUAAAUGCUCUAUGCAUAUGGCAAAGAAUUGAUAUAACGAGAAAUGUUAAAAGAAUUUGCAAAAUUUUUGAGAAGUAAACAAAGCCUCAACCUUAUACUGUUGUGUUUUUCAACGUACAGUAUCUGAAAAAGUAUGAUUUUCUCUUUUUUCUCAUAAAAAAUUCCAUAUUUAAUUUUAGUCUAAGGAUCGAAAAGACCAACAAUCUGUCGUAACAAGAGCUUAUAUUCUAAAUAAGUCUCCUACUCUUUUAAUUUAUGUUCUAUUCUAUAAACUUCAUUAUGUACUACAACCGUGUUCCACUACCAUUUUCAUGUCUAGCCAUGCCAUCAACAUUUUUCAUGCCUAGCUGUCCUAUCAGCCUUUCCCGUGAAAAAGGCUGAUAGGGUAGCUAGGCGUGAAAAAUCGUAGUGAGACAAAGUUGUGCACAGAGAUCAACGCAUGAUCCUAUGGUGGUCGACCUCGUAUGAAUAAAAUCAACUACAUAUAGGUACGUAGCAUCACAGAAAAUAAGAUCAACUAGACAACUACACAUAUAGGUACAUAGCAUCUUGAGCGGGCACGUCAAUCUGCUCUGCCAUGGUGCCGACUGCCGACCCUGUGUGGUGCUCUGCUUCUCCAAGGGAAAGAUAGAGAAAAGAAAGAGAAGGUACGAAUAGAGACUAACUGGUGGGUCCCAAUGGGCCUGUUCCCUGGUAGCUAUAGCCCUUGCCCCUCUGGCCCCGACCAAGCCAUUGAUACUUGACGACCACCUGAGGCCUUGUUUAGAUCCAAAAACUUUUUAGAUUUUGACACCGUAGCAUUUUCAUUUUUAUUUGACAAACAUUGUCUAAUCAUAGAGUAACUAGGCUUAAAAGAUUCGUCUCGUGAUUUACAGGUAAACUGUGCAAUUAGUUAUUUUUUUAUCUAUAUUUAAUGUUCCAUACAUGUGCUGCAAGAUUCGAUGUGAUGGAGAAUUUUGUAAAGUUUUAGGUUUUUGGGUGCAUCUAAACAAGAGCAACUCCAAUAGUUUGCUAAAACUCACUUGGCAAAUUUAUAGUUUUGCCAAGUCUCAAAACCAAAUGCCAAGUGAAAAAAAAGGCAUUCUCCAACAAUUUGCUAUUUGAACUUGGCAAAAGAACUUGACAUCCUAGGAUUUUUGCCAAAAUCACAAAAUUGAGCCUCCAACAAGUUGGUAAAACUAGUUGGCAAAUUGGGAUACACAUAAUGCCAAGUGAUGGAGGACUUGGCAUAUUUGCCAAGUGAAGAGGAAAUUUUGCCAAGCUCACAAAAUUGCCAAGUAGUUUUGCCAACUUGUUGGAGGCCUUUUUUGUGGUUUUGGCAAAAAUCCCAGGAUGCCAAGUACUUUUAACAAACUGUUGAAGUUGCUCGCCAAUAGAACAUAUAUAGUCACCCUUGGCUAGCUCUAAGUUUAGGCUCCUUUGGAUUUUAGUUCUCCUACUAUUUUCUGUUCUAUUCUAAUCACUAUUCAUUUAGUCAAUUAGAACGUAUCUUCUGGAGCAACUAUGUUGCAUGCCAUGUCGGCUAUCGGACCGAGUCCGCUAGCUCCCGCUUUGGAUCUUCAUUGGGACCUGAACCAAGUCCAUGUACUUAAAAGUACAUUUUAAGAGUUUAGAGACUAUUUGACAUCCCCACUCUCACACACGUCCAAGUUCAAGGACCACUAGUGAAUUUUGCUAUACGGAGUACUAUGUUGAAAAUGAACAAAAACAUAGCCACAAUGACAUGUAAUUCUAGUUAGUUGUAGUUACUCAACACAAACUUUUAAUAUACUUGAUUUGCCUACAUGUCUAACCCAUAAGAAACAUGGGUCGAUGAACUAGUACGUAUGAGCCAUUGCCAACUAUAAUGACAGGAAAUACUACAUAUCGUAUAUCAAUUGCGUGAUCAACCACAUAACAGAUAUACUAAAAAUAUCUGACAAAUCAGUUUUUCAAUGAUCAAUCUCGCAUCAAAACUCCUAAUUUUAAUCUGUCACGUGUAUAAACAGAAUAAUUAAAAAUUUAGUUAAGGUAGUCAGAUUGAUUCACCGUGGACUGCGCUGCUAGCUAGUCUACAUAUUCGGGAACUCGGAUUGAUUUUUUGUUGAUUUGAUCGAGGCUUUAAAAAAGGAAAAGAGAAAAAAAAAUAAUAAGACGUUCAUGGAGUCAAAAAUUCACGGGCGUGGAUCGGGGUCCGCUCACCUUGCUUGGCCUUGAGAUGCCCCUAGGUUGCCUCGUCAGAACAGGAUCGAACGUGACAGGCAAAAAAAGAAAUGUGACCACAUAUAUUGGAACAUUUCCAGCAACGAAUUCUGCUAGUCCUAGAUACUACUGCGAGCAACACACGUAGGGGAUUUGGAUCUUGAAAGAUGGGCCGGAAUUAUCUGCUGAUUUGCAGCUGCAUGAGCGGCGGGAAUUAGUCCACGCCGCUGCAUGUUGGGCGACCGUUGCACACGUCUGACUGCCGAAGAGCGGUUCAAAGCUUCGUUCUUCUCCCACUUAUAAAAAAUCUCCACCAUGACUCCAUGAGCGAGGUCGUUCUCGUCCGUUGUGCUCAGCCAUCCCUCCUGCAGAAGUUGCCGGUCGUCGUCCGUGGAGAUGGAGGGCAAGUCGUCCAUGGCGGAGAAGAAGCCAGCUCCAACGCUGCCCGUGUCCAUGGCGGCGAAGCCGCAGCAGCAGCAGCAGCAGGCGCGCGCGGCUCUUCCGUUCCUCCACAUCGACGUCCGGCUCGUCAACCUGUGGACGUUCUUCAACGCCAUCGCCGUCACCAUCACCUUCUCGGCGUUGGCGUCGCCUACUACACUCUCGUCGUCACCUGCUACCCCAGCCAGGCGUCGUGGCUGCUGCCGCGCGCGGCGACGACGAAGGUGACCGACGCGGAGGGCAACCUGGCAUCCGCCCUCGCGACCUGGAUGCUGUGGUGCAGCACGCCCCAGGCGGCCGCCGGGGCGCUGGCGCUGCUGCUUCCGUGCCACCGGCGCACCGCUGGAGGGUCCGCCGCGCCGCCGCCUACGCGGCACUCGCGCUCACCGUCGCCAGCCACUGCAUGUGCGCGGACGGCGUCCGCGUCGUCGUCCGCGCCGACCCAGAAGGCCUCUUCUUCAAGAUCGUCGGCACCGCGGGCAUCUUCGUUUGCGCGGUGGGCGACCUCGUCGGGUUCCUGGCGCUCCUCCGUUUCUGUGGAGGGGAGGAGGAGGAGGAGGAGGACGACCUCCUCGGCUUCGUGCCGCUCCACCGUGGACCGGAGGACUGAGGACUUGCUUGGAGCUCCUCUCUGUGUUGUCUUGCAUCUUCUGAUUACGGAGAACUUUUGAAUGUGAUAUAACAUGCACGUACUCUACUUAAUUAUUAGUGACUAUGGCGCAUCGCGCAAGAGUAGUAUGUGUUGGUCAAGUUGCUUAGGCCUCGUUCGGUUGUCAAAAUUUUUCAAUAUUCUCUCACAUCAAAUCUUUUGACGUAUGCAUGAUGCAUUAAAUAUAGAUAAAAACAAAAUCUAAUUGCAUAGUUUGUCUGUAAUUUCCGAGACAAAUCUUUUAAGCCUAGUUAGUCCAUGAGAAUAAAAUUUGUCAAAUACAAACGAAAAUGUUAUAGUAGCCAAAACCAAAAUUUUCCAUACUAUACUGUAAACAAAAACAAUGGAAACUAUAUAUCUCCUACUCCUAACGACAUAAAACUAUAUAUCUCCUACUCCUAGUCCUCGUCCUCAAUGAGCUUCAAGUGCUCUGCUAACUCGACCUCAAUAAAGUCGUCGGGUAGGUCGUAUUUCUUGCCCACUCAGGCGUAGCGUUUUUCCAUCUCGGUGAACGGAUCGAAUUUGUGGAGCUUCCCCGCACGGCGGUACUCUUCCUGCUGCUCCUCUUCCGUCAUGGACACGCACUUAGCCAUCUCAUCGAUCGCCUCGGCGUAGAAGGCCUGAAUCACCUCGCGCUCCGCCGGCGUCCACUCAAUCUUCUUGGGCCGCGGGUGCGGAGGAGCGGAGUUGCUGCGUGUGCGUGGCUGCCUCCAGUAAAACUCCUUGUUCUGCAGCCGACGCGGAGGACGGGCAGAGCUGCGACGACGGCGCCGUGGCUUAUCCUUCUCCAUGACGCUGGUGGCUGCGCGCUUGGCCGGCCUGGCGCCUAUAUAUAUACGCCUCUUCGUCGGCGUCCCGGCCGGCCGAUCACCGAGCUUUUUUCUCUCCUGUAUAUAUAAUCUGGUCUUGACGCUAACAAAAUCUGAGAAAGAUCUCUUCUUUCGAUCUGUAUAUCGAUGGAUCAUAGCUAGGAGUCAAUAUCUAAUAUAUAUAGGACUCGUUCCAUGUUGUACAGGUUAGCUGUUUCCGACUCCGUAUCCAUAGUAGAACUGGACUCGGAACCGGCGGUCACACGAAAUUUUUGCGUGUGACGUCCGAUCUGUUUUUAGCGUGAUCCGGUAGAUUUGCGGCUUCCGUUGGUUUCGGUCGAUGCAACGUCGGUGCGCGCGCCUAUAUAUGCUAGGAGUAGAAGAGGCCCUUGGGAUAUAGUGUUCGUUCAUUUUCUAGCCGGUGUUGCUAGCUUCCAAUUGGUAAAGCACGCUGCUCUCGAUCCAUUCACGCUGGUGUCGAAUCUUAGAAUGUGGCAAAUUUUUUCCUGUUUAUUGUUAACUUUUGGCCCAUAUUUUCUCCUAUUUUUAUUUUUUAGUAUUACUACUACUAUAUAUAUAAUAAUUUAUAAGUGGGUGCUCCUCCAUCAGACAUGCACAGCAAACACAAGAGAUUUCUCUAUAUACUAACAUUUUAAUUUUGCCUCGGCUCUAUAGACAUGCAACAAAGAAACAGAGAUAUUUAGUUUUUAAUUCUGUCACAAAUGAAAGAGUAGUUAAUUGGUAAGAGACGUUUAUAGUUCUUCCAUAUCACAAAUAUUUAGUUCCUCUUUUGUAUCAAUAUUUUUUAUUAAUUUUUUUCUCAUAGCAAAAACAUGAUAACGGGCCUAGUGUUUUAGGUUUAGAGCUUUAAAGCAUCUCCAAUAGAUUGGCAAAGGACUUCUAUCCAUAAAUUUUUUAGUAUAAUGAGGAGAAACCUUCUCUAACAGUUUGACAUACCAAUUUCUUAUCUUUUCUAAUUUGAUAUAUCUCUCUAUCUAGCACACAAAUAUACGCAUAUACGCGUGGGCUCCGUGUUUGGCAUAAUGCUUAGCGGGCCUCUUCGUUCGCUUAGCGGGGUUCUUCGUUUCGUUAGCUGAUUUUUAGGUUUCUGGAAAUGAAAUUUGUCAAACUAUAUCGGAGAUGAGAUCUUUUUUUUCCUCCUUAUAUUAUUUUAUUGGAGAUGAGAUAUUUUUUUCCUCCUUAUAUUAUUUUGGAGGUUGGCAAAUAAAAAGAUUUGAGAAACGAAUUUUGUUAAACUGUUAGAGAUGCUCUUAUAUGGACAACAAUAGCAAAGUUUUCUUCAUGAUAGACCGAUCGAGUUGACAUCAAUCCAACCUGCGUCGGCUGCUGUGCAACAGGAUUUCACACAUGUCUGCACAUGUAUUUUGAAGACACUAAGUUUCAGAAGCAGUCUGAAGACAAUAAGUUUCAGCAAAAGCAGAGAGCAAACUAACGAACCGAGAUCAUUGAGUAUGUAUAUGUGGUCGAUCAUCACUGUUCGUAAAGGCUACAGGUUCAGUCGUUAAGACUUAGCCAACCACCGUGAAAACUCAAACAGAAACUCAUCAUAAAAAAAAAAAUCAAACCAUGCACACACAUCAGUGUGGAUCUUAUAUCUUGAGAUGAUCGAACGAGGAUGAAUGUUAACGGAACAAGCCGAUCGAAACACAUGACUGGUAAUAUGAUCUAAUACUAAUAAUAUAAGUAGGUUUCCUCUUGAUCUCGCAUCGCAUUGGUCUAGUCCUCGUCCUCGAUGAGCUUGAGGUACUCCUCCAGCUUGGGGUCGUAGCCAUCCGGCGGCGGGUGCUUCUUGGCGACUCUGGCGUAGCGUUUCUUGAGCUCCAUCUCGGGAUCGUACUUGUCAAUCUUCCCUGCCCGGCGAUACUCCUCCUCCACCUCCUCUUCGGUCAUGGCUGCGUAUUCACGAUAGUCGUCGAUCGCUGCCCAAAUAAACACCAUGGCGGCCCUCCACUCCGCCGGCGUGAAAUCCUUCCUCUUCUUUCGCUGCUGCUGCUGUGGAUUAGCUGGGCUAAUACUUGGCGUAAUCUUCUCACCGACGUCAAUCUUCUCACCGGCGUCCUCCAUGAGAUAGAUCUGGAUUUGUUUUUGUCGUCGAUUAUUUUGUGCCGAUCUUAUAUUUGAUGUAUAAUAAUAACAACCUGUCCCCUAUUGAUUUAUAUAACAACCUGGAGGACAAGGGCAAGGGGAUUAGAGGACGCAACAACAAGAUGACUCCCACUCGUCCUAGACUUAGUAAUCAAUAACCUAAUAUCUGUUCAGAUGUAUAUAGGAAGGACUCGUCCCCUGUGUCCCAGGUAAGGAUGAAAACAGAACGGAAAUAUCCCGAACCGAACCGAACCGCUUUCUAUAUUUGAUCCGAUCAAAUUCGUAUUUUUUUGUCCGACUUUAUCAUUUUCGCUUUCGUAUUUUAGAUGUUUCGUAUUUCAAAUAUAAAAGUAGAAAACGGUUUUGACAUUUUUCGACCGUUUUCUACUUUUCUACUUUUAAUUUAAAAUAUUUCGAAUUCAAAAUUUGGUUUAAACCGAAUUUAGUCAAUUGUAGGGUCACACAGCCCAAUUACAGACCACUCACCAUGCAUCUGUGUUCUUUCUACUGGUGGCUAGUUGCGUUCCUGUUAGCUAUUAAUUGCUUAUUCUAGACUUGUAUUUAUGUAUGGGCUAUUGUAUUAAAUACCUAAGACCAAGGAUCAUGCACUUUUUAAUUAUUAUAUGCACUUGAACUUGAUCCUGUAUAUACUUAGUCAUGCACUUGGUACUGUAUAUCGGUAUUUCGUAUUGAGUUUUCGUAUAUCGACCGUGUUCGACAUAAAUCCGAUCGAAUUGGUUCGUUUUCGAAAUUCUCGAUAUUUCGUAACUUCGUGUUCGUUUUCGUGUCCGACUUUACCGUUUUCGUUUUCGUUUUCGUAUUUCAAAUGUAAAAGUAGAAAACAAUUUAGGAAAUUUUCGACCGUUUCUGACCGUUUUCAUCCUUAGUCCAGGCAGACGGCAGCCAGAGCCCGAGUCCGAGGACAAUAGGUGGCUUGCAGAUUGCAUCCACUGAUCGUAUCGGAUACGUGUUCCCGUGCCUGCUUCUGAUCGUGCCAUGUUGAGGUUUAUAUCGUAGCGUAUACGGGUUCCCGUGCCUGUUUCUGAUUUUUUUUUUCCGAGAAGCCGUGCAUGUUUCUGAUUGUGCCAUUGAGGUCAAUAAAUCACACUUUUUUAUUACUGGAAGUGAUUUUAUCACCAGCGUGGAGACAGGUGGUUUCUAUUCUGUUAUAAGUCGAUAACCCUUAAUAAAGAUUAGUUGUAGAAAAAAAUAAAUUCAUUGUCUUUUUAAAUCAAACUAGAAAAUAUGUCCGUGCGUUGCAAACGGAAGAAAAACAUCAAAUGACCAUAAAAAGUGAUGACAUAACGUUACAUAUCUAUUUAUAUUUAUCCUUUUUUAUAAAAUUUAAAGUCCAUAAUUUAUUUUAUUGAUAACCAUGUCAUCUAUGAUAUUGAGCAUCUCCAAUAGUUUGGUAUUUUUUCUUUGCCAUUUGUUGUAGUUUGUCAACUCCCAAAAUAAAAUGAGGAGGAGAAAAACAAGCUAUUUCCAAGAGUUUUGCAAAAUUAACUUAGCAUUUACCAAAUUGAAAAUUGUGGACGACUUGCCACGAAAUUUUUUCAGCGCGCGCAAACAACAUUCUCCAAUCACCAAGCAGGACCUGACACCCUCUACUGGAUGCUUAUCGAUAUGCAUCAUUCUGUCGAGCACGAGCAGUUGUCAAGCACGAACACGUUGUCGGCCACCAGUACAGUCCCACGAGCACUUCAUUCAUCCAGCAGUGAGGACAGCAGCUGCUGUUUUUUGGCCGACAAGCACAGCACAACCGGUAAGCUGAAAGAAGCCAUCACGGUGCGGGAAGAGUCCAAGUCAUGGAAGGCACGAAGAGUCACGGCGAUCGCGUUUAGCAAGUGCUCCACCGGUUGGCAUAUAUGUACAAUUUGACCAGGUAAAUGGUAAUUUGCCCAAAAAUGCCAAUCCAAGAUGCAAAAUUAUUGGAUACGUGUUUUUGAGAUUUUUUGCAACAAGAAUGCCAAACGCAAAUGCCUAACUGUUGGAGAUGCUUAGAUAGUUAAUAUUUACAAUAAUAUAUAGCUUGGAGACAUAUUUAUUUAAUAAUAAUAAUAUAAAUUAGUCAAACCUAUCUUACUCAAAUAUUACCUCUUAAUAUACCAUAGUAUUAUAUUAAAAUAUCAAAAGUUUGUUGCUAGCUUUUUUAUUUAGAUUAGGAUUCCUAUGAAAUAUGAUAUAUCAGUUAAAUGUAUGUAGAUUAUGAACACAUGGACUUAUAAAGUGUUUAUAUGGCAUAACAACACAUCGUGCAAAGGUAGUAGAAGUAUUCUCAAGCAUAAAUUUAGGUAAAUUUGUAAAUCAGUGAAAUAUGCAGGAAUGGUGCUAAAACUUUUACCAUAAAUCAAGCAUCACAUUAAGUAGGAUACCAUAAAAUUUUCAUAAAAAUUGGAGCAAGAUAACUAUAAUUUCAAUUUUACACUAAAAGCAUAGGCAUUAGGCAAGCAUCUCCAGGAAAAAAUAUACUAAAAUUUGUAUAUUUUUUUUGUUUACUGAAUGGAUCUAUAUAUGUGGAGCUGAACAAAAUUUGUUUUGUAAUUUUUAGAUUUUUCUAUGAAUUACUAUGUAUUUAUCAAUUUUCAGUCGAUUUAAAGAGCAAAAGAAAAGUAAACUAAUAGGACAAAUACUUUACAUCUAGGCUUCUGUAUUUUUUUUAUUCUCGACGUGCUCUGAUGUAUACAUAAGAUUUUGCAUUGGAAACCCUAUAAAAGCUUCUAUUCUUUUUUUCUCUUCCACCAGUGUUGAAGCUAUGGGCCGACCGAUUCCGGACGCGGAGUUUGGCGGAUUAAAAUUUUCACAAUUAUAUAUUAGGGAUAGACUUUAUAAUUAAUUUAAUAGUAUUUAUUUGGUAUCAUAACUGUAGAUAUUUUUUAUUUAUAAUUGGUCAAACUUAUAUAUAAGGUACUAAAAUAUGAUAUUGUGCUAUAAUGGUAUUGUUUUGAGGGGAUGUAGUAGAAAAGAAAAAACGCUAGCAGCUUCUAUGCGGUACAAUGCCAACAAGGUCAAGUGCAUGUAUCUGUACGUGCCCGUAUCUGUGCUUCAAAUACGUAUAUACUCUUAUAUCGUAUAUACACUCUGCGGUGGUACAUUUCCAUAUCUGGAUAAGCAUGCAUGGCAGGGUGGGCCGAGGGACGUGCGAGGCAAAGGUGGGCCGACCGACCAGCUACAAAUUUGAUUUAUUUAGAUGCCCAAAUUUGAUAAUAGGAACUAUAUAUUUUCUUUUUUUUUUUGUGAUACUAAAUCCCCGUUGCAACGGGAUACAUGACUUAUUGACUUAUAUUAUGCCCGCAGUUAUCUAGACAACUUUUCAUUUAGAGACUUUUUUUAAUAAUUAUGUUAGUCUACUUUAUUUUAGAAUUGGACUAGCAAGACAUGUGUCUUUCUAACUCAUAUAAGCACACGUUCUUCUUUCUACUAGGUAGUGUGCUCGUGCGUUACUACAGGACAUCUAAACUUUGUACUACAAACACACGAAUUGCAUGAUAAAAUAAUAAUACUGUAAAAUUAAACAAUAUAAUACCUAUGCUUAUAGUAGACAAUAUAUAACCAAAAAAAUCAAAUAACUAAAAGGUAUAUAACUAAAAGCGUCAUUCUAAAGCAAAUGCAUCUGGCGUUACAAGUCUCCGACUGACCGGACAUGGUGUCGGCAGUGUAGUUGUUCUCGGUGCAGAGGUAUGCAGGACAUCCGGGUCAGAUCGGGAGUCAUCGCGGAGCCAGUAGUAGUCGUCGACGCGGAUGUCGCCAUGCUCGACGAGCUGCGCGGCACUUUCUUGGCCACCAGCGGCGCUGCCGCCAUCGCUACGAAGGAAGUGAUGCGGUAACAGGAGAGGGGCCUGAUGCCAAAGGAGGAGAAAAGGAGGAGAGUGCGGCGGCGCGAGAGUGGGCACGCGGCGAGGGUCGGGGAGAAGCUGCGAUGCGCGCAAGGGAGAAGCAGGAGAACAGAAGGGGCACACGAGAGAAGGAGCCAGCCAGCCGGAUUGAGCGAGUUGGUUCAGCCAGAUAAAAAUUAGUCCAGACGAAAAAUUUUGGCUGAAAUUUUGUCUCUUUUACUUUAUUUAUUAUCUAGAUAAAUCGUAUAUCAAGAAUCUCUAUAAUAUUUUAAAAUCAAAUAGUCAAAGAUAUAAAUGUUUAACUUAAAACAAAGAUAAUACGACAUAUAAAUAAAACCCGAAUGAGUAAUAGUAACCACUUGAUGAUUUUCUGACUCGAUUUUGCAACACGAAAGUGAACGUGCCUAAAGUCGUGUGUCUGCUGCAGACAGGGAGUGACAGCAGUUUUUGAAGAUGUCCAUUUGCUUGGUUGAAGAGAGGCACGUAGGCGUCGAUAUUGCCAUCGCCGGAGAAAGACGACACUAUGAAAAUACCGUCCUCCACCGGCGCGGGUAAUUUGGCAUGAAGAAGAAUGGCAGCCCACAGCCAAAGUCGAAGUCCUGGAACGGGAGCCCCAGCAGGGUUUCCACCUCGACGCGUUUGGGCUCAGCAUCGUCUCCAACGGGUCUACCUCUAAUGUCGGCACCAGCCCUUCUUCCUCCAAUACCUUGGAGCUUGCGAAGUCUAUGAAGGACCUGAAAUAGGCACCUCCACGACUCCUCGGAGGGGUCUCCUAACCAUGUCGCCCGCGGUCGUCGUCGGCCGCGCCCAGAGCACGACGUUGCCGGUGUACCAUUCGGGCACUCGCGGAUGAUGCAUCCGUGCGCGCCCGUUCACCGAGAUGUGGAGCUCGGUACUCGUGCACCCGUCGACCUUUAUGACGCACCGCCAUAGGUGCGCCGCCACGCACUGCAGCGUGCUGUACGGCCGCCACUGCCGCGGCGCGCCCGCCGAUGCCCGUUUCUUGAGCUCGGCGACGAACUCUCAGCUGAAGUUCACCCUAUGCAUCACCACCUUGUCGUCGUCGACAUUGCUCCUUGACUCCCUUCUGCCGCCGGCGAUGUGCUUUGUACUUGUACUUGGUGCCGCGGUUCUCGAACUCGACACAGGGCGGGUCCCGAGGCACGAACAAGGACACGCAGUCGUGCACGGGCACGGGGUCGACGGCGACGCCGCGCGUGGCCUGGCCGGCCCCAGGCGUUCACGAAGCUACGGAAGGCGAGGCCGUCGGGCACGAGAUGCGCAGGAUGCUGCACGGCCGUGCCCAGCCCAAGACGAAGGAGCCGCAAGUGAACCGCGUGACCUGCACAAGCAUGAGCACUCCGUCGACGUCGACGUCGACGGCGGCGUUGUCCUCACCGUCACCGCUUGGGUGCAGGCUCAGCGUCCCGGGAGUCGCCGGCUGCAGUGGCAUGACGCUGUCGAGCGGGACGUCGGCCAUGGCCUCGACGAAAGCGUUGCGGCGAGACCGGCCUCGAGGAGAGCUCGGCGGCGCCGGCGGGCGGAAGAAAUAUAUAUAAGCCAAGGACGUACGGGUCGUAGACCACCUUGUCGAAUAUUGUACCAUGACCGAGGACGAGCGAGAUGGAUACAGAUAAGCCAGACGAAAACCUGGCCUGACGAAAAAUAUGGCUGAAAUUUUACCUCUUUAGUAUUAGUAUAUAUAUAUAUAUAUAUAUAUAUAUUAAUAUUAAUUACUUGUAAAUAUGCCCGUACGUUGCAACGGGACGUACAUAUUCAGAGAAUUGACCAUAGCAUCAUAUAUUUAAAAAUAGUUACCAUAAUAAUAUCUCAAUCAAGCAAUUUAUACUUCAGAGAAUUAACGUAGCAUCAUACAUUUUAAAAAUAACUAUCACAAUCAUAGCUCAAUCAAGAAGGUUUGCGAUUUAGUUAUAAAAAAAUGCUGGUACCACGUUAAUAAUCUAUCCUCUAUUUGAUUCUUUGCAUAUACAUGGCAGUUUUGCAGACCUUGGCGUACAUAUGAUGGGCCUGCAUGUCAGCCAGUUUAAAUUUGGGUGAUUCAUUUAGAAAUAAUAAUGGUGAUCAUUUUUUUUUGGUACUUACCCUGUCGUCAGCCAGUUUGCUUUCCUGAUUCCGGUUGCGGACUUGCUGACCUUGGCGUAGAUACGAAGGGCCCGCGCGUGCUCCCAGGCCCAAAACUAAAAGGCCGAAGCCCAAAACGAGAAGCCUUUAUCUCCUCCGUCCUCCACCGGAGUGACCGAUUCUGUUUUAGUAGCCUCUGUCUCCUUCGUCCUCUAGCUCGCUAGCCCCCGCCCUCCACCAUCUCCGGCAAAGGGCCCUCCUCCUGUCCUCCAUCCCCUAGCUUAGCACUCUAGAUCGGCACCCGUGCGCCUUCCUCUCGCUCCUCUCUCAUUCGAGUGCCGCCAGUCGUGCCCCCGCCUCGUGCUCAUCUCCGGCGGCCGUGCGUGCAGACCUUCUUCCGUGUUGUGGUUGUGCUUCUCUCGUCCUCUGUCCUUGACGUGGCGCAAAUCCGACGAGGGGCACCUGUGGCUGAGAUCUAGUGAGAGGGCACUGCGAUGGCGACAGCACGGAGAAGCACGGCUGCCUCGCCGCCCUCGGCCCCGGUCUCGUCGUCUUCCCCAUUAACCCGGCUGAAGAGGUGGCCCCAAGCCGUGCCGCCCCUGGCUGGCAUGCACGGAAGUCCUGGUCAUGUGCCCGGUGGGAGGCGACGGCGUGGGCUGGCCGGUGAGCGCAGAGGCGGCGUGGUGGUGGACGGUAAAGGUAUAAAUAUAAAUUUGCUCUUCUUGUUUGUGGAAAUUUAUGAAUCCAUGUUAGGUUGUUUGAUCUUGUCUCUGGUUGUCUCGAUUUAUAUCUAGAUUUGGUCUUCUUAUUUUUUUGGAAAUUUAUGAAUCCAUGUUCUAGUGCCUUUUCCUCUGUAUUUGAAUUUGGUUUUAGAUGUCUUUGGACUUGAUGCGGAUUCAAGUGACGAAGAGCAAGCCUGCACUGGAUGCAUCCGUAUUAGAAAUCGUCUAGGGUGCCGAGUUUUAAACGAAAACUGAAGAGCUGGUGAAGGCCUGAAGGGUGCAUACACGGUGGAGAAAAGAACACGGAGAAGAGGCCAGACGAAAAUAUUUGCUCUUCUUAUUUUUUGGAAAUUUACGAAUCCAUGUUCUAGUGCCUUUUCCUCUGUAUUUGGAUUUGGUUUUAGAUGUCUUUGGACUUGAUGCGAAUUCUUAAGUGACGAAGAGCAAGCCUGCACUAGAUGCAUCCGUAUUAGAAAUCGUCUAGGGUGCAGAGUUCUGAACGAAAACUGAAGAGCUGGUGAAGGGUGCAUACACGGUGGGGAAAAACACGGAGAGGAGGACAGACGAAAAUUUUGCUAGACGAAAACAGAGGCUGAAAUUUUGCCUCUUUAGUCCACAUGGGAUUUUAUUAGAGUCCAAUAUAUAUAUAUAUAUAUAUAUAUAUAUAUAUAUUAGUAUUAGGUAUAGACUAAGAAAACAUGCCCGUGCGUUGCAACGGGAGAAAAAAAUACUAAUAUGUCCAAGUCUAAUAAACAACUGAACAUUUUUUUUGUAAGGAAUAGACAAUUAAACAUAGUUUGAGACUUUUUAAAAAUUACUCGUCAUUAUUGCUCAAUGAUUUCUAUUUACAUAUACAAUCUAUGUUCACAGUAUUCGUGUGUAGACAAUCAAGUAAAAUUUGUGAACGAGAUAUAUUCAUAGUUAUAUAUACUUUGCAACUUUUAAAUUCAGAGGCAGGAAGACAUUAUUUAACAUAACUUUUAUUUGUCUUCAUCUAUUCUGUUCUAUGAUAUAAAUAAAUUCUUUUGAAAAUAAUUAUUAUUGUCUUGUUAAAUAUGUUAAAUAAACAUGCAAUAAGUUAUGCACAAACACUAUAUAAGAAUGAAUUUUAUUGGAUCAUAUAACAACCCAAAAAGAAUCACUGUUUAUUUGUGCUUCAUGUCACGGUAAAAGCAAGCGUCUAAUUGAAUCGACUGUUAUUAUGUGUUGGUUUGUAUUUUAACCAUCAAUUAAAAAAUCGAGUUAGGAGGAGCAGAAGUACAAAAUAAAACUUAUUGUAUCCAACUCCCAACAAUAUGUUCCAAGAGUCACCAAAUUCAUUUUUCUAUUUCCAAACUUUAACUAUCUUUUCGCUUUGAACUUCCUAUCGGCUCCGUCUCGAGCAUACUUAUAUUUAUCAAUUUCAUUUCGGUUUUUCGUUUGGAAUGAGAUGUUUUGUUACCCGUGUAUUCCGGUGUAUCCGUACCAGAUUUUGUAUUUUAGAUUUAUUUGUAGCCUUUUUUUACUUCAAACUUCGUAUUAGCUUUAUCCGGGCCAUACUUAUCAAUUCUAUUCCAGUAUAGCGUUCGGAAUGAGAUGUUUGCGUACAACUAUUGUGCCGUACCAUUCUGGAUUUAUCAUUUCAUACAUUUAAUAUAUUCUAGCCUUUUUGCUUAUUACAAAUAAAGUCCACAAAAAUUAACCUUCAAUAAAAACCAAAGAAAUUACAUAGGUAUUUAAAGGCUAGUGGGCCGGCCUAUUGAUGUUGGGCCUUUGCCCUAGCCUAAGCAUGCCACACACGCCAGGAACUAAUGAAGCUAAGGAGACAGGGAGAGGCACGCCGCCACCCCUGCCUUCCUUCUCCAAGCUACACAGGAGUCAUUGCCUUGCUCACAAACAUCCGUGCUUGUGACUCCACCUCGCCUCCACAAACGGGCCUCCACUCCUCUACGAGCAGCUUCCCCGCUCGAGCUCGCUGCGUUUUGCCCCUGUUUCAUCGCCGGCUCCUACUCCCAGUGCCACCCACUGCUCUGUUUUCUUCAGCGCAUCUCAAGCAUCAAUGGAGCUCUGACUCGGCUCCUCAUCCCCGAGGGAGACCUUUGUCAUCGUCUGCUCAUGGGAGGUGCUACCGUUUGCUCGCGCAUGGAGCACUCCCACAUGUCGUCUCCUAGGUGGAUCCUCGUGCGGGAUUUGUUAUUUGUUCUUGGCUCAAAUUUGAUUUCUACCUAUUGCCUUGCUUUCUUAAUUUAUGUCUCAAUAUGUUUCCAUCGAUUCGGUCUAGUUGUCCAUGGUUGUUUUGAAUUUCGAUUUGGUCUCGGUCUAGUCUUUCGAUUUGGUCUCGGUCCAGUCUUUACCGUGGUGAACCUGCACGCUCAACUUUCCGAGCGCGUGGCCGAGACAAAUUUGGUAUUGGCCUAGCUAGACGAAAAUUUGAGGACCAGAAAUUUUAUCUCUCCCCCAUCCUUAUAAGUAGCCAGACCAAAAAAAAUCCAGACCAAAAAAGUGGCGGAAAUUUUAUCUCUUUAUUAUUAGGUAUAGAUAUAGAUAUAGACUAGCAAAACAUGCCCGUGCGUUGCAACGGGAUCUAUGUUUACUCUAUGAUUCUCAAACGAAUAGUAUUUAAAUAUAUUAUUUUUCAAAUUUAUUAUUUUGAUUUAAUCUGACAUUAAAUAAAUUAUAAGGCCCGCUGUCCUUAGACGUGGAAUGUUGACACCUCACCUAGAUAUAUAUCCGGUGAAGUUCAACAAGGCCAUGCAUCAGGAAAUAUAUCUUAGCAUUAUCCAAAUUUUGUAGAUGUACUUGAUCUCUUAUGCAAUAUAUAUAAGCACUGAUCACCUACAAAUAGUUUAAAAUACAUUAAAAUUAAUAUUAAUAACGGGAAAAAUUGUAUAAUCAUUAGGAGACUCACAUCAUCGUCUAACCAUUUGCCUUGGUCUAGGAGGCACAAUAACUGAUGUUGUUUCACAAAUAUUUCAUCAAUCUUCACCAGUAAAUCAUCUUUUGACAAUUAAUAUGUGAGCACAUAAGUCCAUAUUGGUCAAUGUAUAAAGAACAGAACAAUGUUAUUGAUACAUAUGACUAUCUACCACAAGGUAUUUUUUUCAUUUAUAUAUGCGGCGAGCGCGUAGAUGCGGACGGUGGCAAGCACAGCGAGCGCGCGUGGGCGCAACCGCGGCGUCGACGUCCCUGCACCUCGCCGGCCUUUUCGCGACGGCGAACGUGUAGAUGCGGACGGCCGGCCUUUUCGCGACGGCGAGCGCGUAGAUGCGGACGGCGACGAGCAGGCAGCGAGCGCGUGUGGGCGAGCGAACGGCGGCAAGCGGGAGCGAGGACGCGUGGGUGAGCGGACGGCGAGCACGCAUGUUGUGGGCGACGGACGGCGGCGCUUUCAUCCGGCAUCGACUGACUGCUUGCGAGUUGCGGCUGCGGUUCUUUUUUUUAACAGAGAAAACAAAUCCAACGAGAUGGUGUAGGCCGUUCCGUGCAGGAAUGCGUGGGGAGCGUGAAUGGGCCGCGAAUGUGAUUCUGGUUUGUAGAAUGGGCCAGACGAAAACAAGCCCAGACGAAAAAAAAAGGCUGAAAUUUUGCCUCUUUAUUAUUAGGGAUAGACUAGCAAAUAUGCCCGUACGUUGCAACGGGAUAGAUACGAUUUAUCGCGUAAUCAGAAUUUGUCUUGGUAUUAAACUCCACACUCUGCCAAGACAUGUCCUACUCUAACUUGUGUAUGGGUAGUUAUGGGAGUGGAAGUUGUUUUGAUAAAACGUCUGGUAAAACAACUUUUCAUGGUAAAUAAGGUGAUAUGUCCACAAUGCUAUUCUCUCUUUUUUGUUUGUUUUCUAUUCUCUUUUUUGUAUUUUUCUUGCAUCCUUUUACUUAUCUAUCUUUUUUUACCUAUCUGCCUUGUGGCGAAGCUUCCUCACCCCAAGAUCUGCAUCGGUUGCCCUAUGCUACCCAUGUCCCGACAGGUGGCGAUCGAUGUCUCUCGUGGCCCCAUGCCCCAACAAGGCCAGGAUUUUAGGUGGCUCUGUGACGAAACACCAUGGUGGCACCUCAUGCUCAAUUCCUUUGUAGCUUUGUGUCCCGACGACUUUGCGUCGCCCAUGGACCAACAACCCUGUGCCUUGGUGGCUCCUCUCUAACACUCCCUUGCCAGGCUUCGCCAGUAGGCGUCUCUAGUGCACAGGCUUCCUGGUGGCUCCAAGCCUAGGCACCUCGGUGGCUUGUGGCUCAGUGUCCUUGUGGUUCAUUGGCCUUGCGUUGCCCGUGCAUCGGUGGUCUCAGAUUUUUUAUAUUUGAUUCGGUUUAUUGUCUGAUAUAUGGCCAAUUUAGAUUGAUCGUGUUGUAUUCGUGAUCGUAAGAAAUAUUUUGAGGUGAUAUGGAGUUAAUAUUCUGUCCAUGAUGUUCGAGUUCGAAUCUUGUUUUAGUCAUGUUGCCUUUUUGGUCGUGUUGUAUUCGAGAUUAUAAGGAAGAUUUGAGGUGAUAUGGAGUUAAUAUUCUAUCCAUGAUGUUCAAGUUCGAAUCUUGUUUUAGUCAUGUUUCCUUUUUGGCGCUCAGCAGCCCGGCACACGUCACUGGCCCGGUGGCGCCUAGUGUAGGAGCGCCCCCACAUGACAAUAUCGACCACAUUUUCUAUACAGUUUAGAUUACAAAUCAGGACAUUAACACUAUAUUUGGACACAAUCAGCUCUUACUAAUUAACCUUCGUCCCAUUGCAUUUGAGAUUCAUAAAAACAAGGCUUCAUAAUGCAUGUGAGGCACUCCACACAGGAGCGCGGCAACACCGUGCUUUGUCUUCUAGUUUUGGUCGAACCAGGCAACCAGCAGUCGUCCUGAAUAAUCAUAUGUGAAAGGAUAAUGAAAGAUAAAAAUAUCUACAAAUGAAGGUUUACAGUUCAAGACUCAAGGAGGCCUAAGUCUGAAAGGUCAUCAGAGAAUAAAAGACGUGAAAAGGAACAAAGAUAAGGCAUAAUUUUAGGGUACCCUUCGCACAUGAAUAAGUCUAACUAAUAGGGAAAAGUCAAGAGAAAUAGAUUUUAACCUUCCAUUUAUCUUAUACUAUCUCUAUCUUGAGAAGAAUAUAAUUGUAAGUUGCAUUCUUGGUUAAAGUGUCCAAACCAUGACCAAAUGUUCCAGAACUCUUUUUUAUAAAAAAAAAACUUGACCAAAUAUAUAGAUAAAAAUAUUAAUACAUUCUACACCAAAUAAAUAUAUUGAGAAAAGAUAUCUCAUGACAAAUCUAAUUAUACUUAUUUGAUGUCAUAACUAUGUAUACAUUUUUGUAUAUAACUGGUUGAACUUGAGACACUUUAAUUUGAAUAUUUCAUGCUAUACUAGAUUGCAUUAUAUUCUUUUCCUUUCACAAGUAGUACAAUAUGUUAUCACAUUGUUAAAACGUCAAUAUCAUAGUUCCAAUUAUGUAGUUUAGCAUCUUACAUUUUGUCAUAUUUCUAAUGGUAGGCCUAAGGGACAGGUCCAAGGUACCCUGCGGGCCCAGAGUGGACCCGGCGUGAACAUUACCCAGAGGUAACGCCACUGUUCAUGCAAUAUUGUAGCACAUAUGUCACCAUUGCAAGAAGUCGGUUUAGACUAGAUAGGAUCUAGAGAAGUCCAUGACCUUUCUUGUUAGAUUACUUAAAAUGUAAGUUUCCUCGAGACUAUAAAUACAGAGGCAUUGUAAUCACCUAGAAUCAAGAAAGAAUAGCCUAAGGGGUUCCUAUCCUACUCUCUCUCCAGCGUCUCAGUUUUGAUAUUUACUAAUAUGAAGUUAGGUGUGGCUAGCAUUGCUUGUCUCUCUGAGUCCUAUACCAACCUCUUAUAGAUUAUCCUUUGGCCAUUUGUUGAUCACUAGCAAAGUCAAUUUAUAUGAGAAACUUGAUUGUGCAUGUUGAUAGAUUCCUAGGAAAUAUUAUAAUUACUACCUAUAGCUCCUAUAGCUCCAUAUUAUUGCGUACCCAUUAGGUACAUAAUACUAAUACUGAUUAAAUGUUCCUUGCAUAUAUAGCAGAAUAAUAGGACAUUAUUUAACUCCAUUCUUGGUGAUCAAUGUUAUGAAUUAUUUGGUAUCCUCAGUUCUGAAGUUAAAUGUGUUCUGUUAUUCACUAUUCUUGGUAUAUAUGCACUAUUCGAAUGUCGAAGAUUGAGUUAAAUGAUGUAUGUAUGCAGGUAAGAGUGGGAGUAAGGGUAUUGACAUCGAUGAGAAUGAAUUAGCAUCUAUAAUAAACUGGAAAAAUUGAAGAUUCCCUACCUUGAAGGUUUGCAUCUAUCAGAUUACUUAUUCAUCUUGUUAGCCAAAUUAUAAUUGCAAGUUACUAGAUCUGUUAGCUAAUUGCUUAUAGUUUCUUCUUAAAUCUUAGCUAGGAGAGUAGGGUUUUAUGGUAAUAUUAUCAGUGUGGAUUGUCAAAAUCUCCCGAGCAAUUCAGAUCAAAAGCAGCCCAAACUCCUUUGUCAUGUCGGAUCUCUUAUAGAUUAUCAUUUUUGUUUAUCUGCAAUAAUAUCCUAAAGGGAUCCAAUUGCGCUAGUUGUUGUUGACACACUGUCCGGUUAACAGAUGAUUCUUCUAGUUCUCUACGUGCAGGAGUUAGCGAGACUGAUGCUAAUGAUGAGGAACUAUUUCUAGAUGCAUGUGAUGAACUCGAAAGAGGACGUGGACCUAGAGUCGCCGUAGCGCUCGUGGGUGGUCCUCAUCUUCUAUCCCAUGGUGGUCGUCCACAAGGGUAAGGGUGCCCAACCGAAGAGUAUUCCCUGUGGCGAGGACAUAUGUGUAGGCAAUUGAUCUAGAGACAUUGUUCGCCCACAAUAUACCAUCCUUGUCCCGCGGCUUUGCCUAAGAGGAGCAACAUGAGUUGUCCACCUAUGUGCUCGUUGUUGUCUACUUUGGCCGAUUGGUCGUCCAAGCCAUCGACCCUGUCACUAACAAGACCUCCCGCCUAGAGCUAGACUUCUUCCUCUAUAAUGGUCACAACCGCUCUGCUUUAAUGAUGCUAGCUAUCCCCUUCGCCACACUUCUUGUCACCGUGUAGCCUACUCUAGCUGAUGCGUUUGAAGCAACCAAAUUUGUAUAUAGAUUGGCACGGCCUACUCUCAAAUAUGCCUUGGGGAUCUACCCUCCUCAUAAAAAAGUCAUGUCAUCAUAACAUAAUUAGACUAAUUAUAAGUUACAAUGAAAGCUAUUCAUUUUGUACUUUUCUAAAAAUCAUGAAAUUUCUUCAUGAGUUACUCACUCCAUCCUGAUAUAUAAGGUGUAACCACUUUUUGUUUAUGUCCCAUAAUAUAAGGGGUGCUCUCUCUAGACACACAUGCAUCGAUGCAGUAAUACUAGUGUUAAGAGAGAGAAUUAAAUAUGUUCCUUGGUCUUUGAAUUAGAGGUGUUUAUGCGUUAUAUACUAGGAUGAAGGGAGUAUGUACAGAAACAUUUAACUACAUAGAGAUUUUAUGAACACGAAUACUGAGAUACAUAUAGAAUGUUUAGGAGAAUAUAUUUCCAUGUCCACUAUAUUAGAACUGGCAAUUCCAAACAAGAGAGAGAGGGAGGAGAGAGCUUGGAGGAGGAGAGGAAACAAACUAGGGAUUUGCACAAGUGUAAAUGAGUGGGACGUUAGGUCCCUUGGCCUGAUGCCCUUAGGCACUUAUAUAGGAAAUGGGUAUUUACAUGUGAACAAUCGGUGGGGUUGGAUUUCACAUGACUUGUUGAAAGGUCCUAAUAUGGCUAGAGGGGGGGUGAAUAGCCUAUUUAAAAAUUCUACAAAAACACUAGAGCAAGAGGUUAGUAAAUAACAAAGCGAAGCUUUUUGCUCUAGCUCUAAUCGGGUGUUUGCAAGCCACCUACCCAACAAUUCUAGUUGCUAUGAUCACUAUGCACACAAGAACUAAGUCUCUACUUACACUAGAGGGCUACCUAAAGUUUCUAUACAAGAAGGUAAGCUACUCUGGUUUGCGGAAAUGUAAAAGAGAUGGUUUGAACUUUAUACCGCCGCGUAGAGGGGAUGAACCAAUCAAUAAUAUGAAGUCCAAUCACCGGGAGAAAUCCAAUGAACAAUCACAAUGGAGACACACAAUUUUUCUCCCGAGGUUCACGUGCUUGCCGGCACGCUACGUCCCCGUUGUGUCGACCAACACUUGGUGGUUCGGUGGCUAAGAGGUGUAGCACGAACCUCGUUCUCACUAGGACACCACAAGAACCUACCCACAAGUGAGGUAACUCAAUGACACGAGCAAUCCACUAGAGUUACCUUUCGGCUCUCCGCCGGGGAAGGUACAAGACCCCUCACAAUCACCGGGAGAUGGCCACGAACAAUCACCAACUCGUGCCAAUCCUCCUCCGCUGCUCCAAGCCGUCUAGGUGGCGGCAACCACCAAGAGUAACAAGAAAACCGCAGCUAGAACGAUCCCCAAGUGCCACUAGAUGCAAUCGCUCAAGCAAAUGCACUUGGAAUCACUCCCAAUCUCACAAAGAUGUAUAAUCUAUGAAGGAGAUGAGUGGGAGGUGUUUGCUUAGGCUCACAAGGAUGUCAAGUAUGUUAGAGUGCCAAGAGUGUAAGCCCCAAGCCGGCCAAACACGUAUUUAUAGCCCCUCAAACAAAUAGAGCCGUUGACUCUUUCACUGGGCGAAAUACGGGGUCACCGGACGCUCUUAAAGGGGCACCGGACGCUCAACACCAGCGUCCGGUGCUCUAACGUCAGCCGCGUGUCAGAGUCUAACGGUAACCUGCAGAGCACCGGACGCUGAGCAGGUUGGCACCGGACGCGUCCGGUGCACACCGGACUCAUGCGCAGAGAGCUCCGCAAACUCGCAGGGUCACCGGACGCAAGCCACCGGACGCACCCUGAGCGUCCGGUGCUCAUCGGACUCACACCCAGAGAGGGUUGCAAAACGCGCGGACACCGGACUCAGACCACCGGACGCUCUAGCUUGCGUCCGGUGCCUGGCGUCCGGUGCCUAACCCUAGCUGAGCCAGGCAGCCUGCACACCGGACGCUCAGACACAGCGUCCGGUGCCUCUGAGCCAGCGUCCGGUGAGUGUUUUCUCAGCGAGAAACACUCCCGCGACUUCACCAAUUUCCCACCGGCGCAAUAGAAAAUAUGCACUUCAUUUUCUCGAAAAGCGCCGAAAACCCUAAAACCCAUCCUCUCUCUACUCUUCAAACUCCACCUCCUUCUCAAAGUGUGCCAACACCACAACGUGUGUACCAACAAGUGCACGUGUGUUAGCAUUUUCACAAACAUUUUCUUCGAAGGAGUUAAGUUAGCUUACUAGGUUCUAAAUGCAUGCACAUGAACAAUGACACCUAGUGGCACUUGAUAACCGCUUAGCCAAAGAAUUCCCCUCUUUAUAGUACGGCUAUCUAUUCUAAAUGUGAUCACACCCACUAUGGUGUCUUGAUCACCAAAACCAGAACCCUAAGCAAUACCUUUGCCUUGAUCUCCAUAGGGUUUUAUUUUUCUCUUUCUUCUUUUCCAAGUUGAGCACUUGAUCAUCUUGUGGUCAUCACCAUCAUUACCAUGAUCAUCUCUUGCUCCAUCACUUGGCAUGUACCAACCUUAUUAAGUCUACACACACUUAGCAUAGAGGUUAGUACUUAGGGUUUCAUCAAUUAUCCAAAACCAAACUAGGGCUUUCACUUGUUAGGCCUCUUCUAGGGAGAGAAAUGGCCCAUAUAAGUCAUGGGCUUCCCCAAAAUCACUCCUCAAAGACACUUCAAAGGGAGGGGAUUUGCCAACACUUCAGCUACUACAAUGACUCAUCCUUGCCAACAAUUUAAUGUGAGGGACCUCAAUAUCAUCUUUGGAGUAUGCAAUAACUAACCCUCGAUGCCAUCAGGUAGAGGGGCUUCUCCGACAUCUCCAACAUCAACUCUAACAACAUAUCUUUGUCGAUAUCUUCAGCAACUAUAACAACUUGCCUCCACCAAAACUUCAAAAUGAGGGACUUUGCUGACAUCUUAGCAUCUAUACAAACAUCACCUUUGUUAAAACCUUCACCACGAGGGCCUUCACCAACAUCUUCGGCAUCCACAAUGACUCGCCUAUGCAAAUACUUUGGCAUGAGGGGCUUCACCAACAUCUUCAAUGACUAUGACAUCUUAUCUCUACCAACACUACAAUAGGAGGGGCUUCACUGUCAUCUUUGGCCACUACAAUGGCCCGAGAGCCUUUGUGGACACCUUUAGCGUCAAUGUUUAUGAUGACUUGCCUUCAUCGCUAAGUUCAUUUGAGGGGCUAUGUCAACUCCUUCAACACUCAGGUCUACUUUACCUUCCUUGACCACUUUGGCUCGCGGGGCUCAUCGACAACUUCAAUUUGAACAUCUACUUUUGCUACUAUGCAUACUAUGACUACAUUAACUACAACAAGCACAACUAAAGAUUUGGCAACAAGCACUAGACAAGAGGAGCUAAGGGAGCACGCUGAAGGACCUCACAAUCUAGAGGGCGAAGUCUUUUCCCAAUGCUCAUGAGAGAAGAUUUAGAGGCUUCACGGUAACCUUUAGCUAUGGCUACGAUGACUACACCCAUUCGUAAAGAGAAGGUUUGUCUCCAAGUGAACCCUCAGAUGGUAAGGUCUCAGACGUGAAGAUUUGCAUGCUAAGGACCCAAAGAUAAAGUUCUACAACGAGAAGGUCUUGGAGGCAAAGAUCUGCAUGCUGAGAACAAAGGUCCUAGAGGCAAAGACCUACAUGUCGAGGAAAGCUUUAUCCAUGUCAUAGAAGCGGUGGAGGAAGUUGAAGCCCAAAUAUAAAAAUGCCAAGGAGAUUGUGAUCGAGGCACUUGAAGUUAGUAGUUUCCUUGAGUUAACAUUUGUAUAGACUAGAAUCACGUGCAGCGUGCUCUUUUCUCCAUACUCUUAUUCCCAUAGGAUGUUUGGGAUGGUGUUUUUAGUGAGAUGAAUGUGUUUUUAGUGAGACGAACACACAUAGGUUGCGAAGGGCCAUCCUUGUGACUAGGGUUUGAGUUCUAUUUUUGCCUUGUCUUGUAUGAGCAUCUAUUAAGUCUUGUUGUUGGUGCAAAAGUUGAUCUGCAAACACAAAGGGCUAAUACCUGGUUCAAACGUUAAGGCGUGCCAGCCGAUUUGACCUUACUAUCGGCAAAGGUGAUAACUCGAAUACUUUGGUCCCGACAACAGCGAUGCGCCCGGAUGCCACGGCCAAGAGGUAUUCACGCGGAACUUGAGAAUACGCCGAGCUUAAGUCGACGAACUCCUAAGAACUCGUAAUGAAAAAGGAAAAUAUGACGAAGUCGUCGAAAAAGUGGAUGCUGGAAUAUGAGUAAAAACUUGUGUUUGAUUGAUUGAUAGAUAGAUUACAAGGCCCUAGGGUCUACAUUUAUACCCUGAUCAAAGAGCUACAACCAGACACGACUAGAAUUCGAAUUCCAAAUUUAAACAAAAUCUGUGUACAAAAUGAUCUAAAUAACUAAGAAAAACAUAAAACUAUCCUUCCGUGACAAACUGGGACACCACCAUGGAUCAAUCGACAACCUUCAAGUCUUCCUUCCAUAUCAUCGGCAGACUCCCCAGGCAAUGGUUAACACUGACCAUCGGCAUAAACACAUCACCACCCAUGGACUUAGCCACAUUCAGUUGUCUCCUCAUCGGCAACCACCCUUAUCGGCAACUCUCCUGCAUACCAAUCACUAUUGCCCUUUCUUGCCGAUCUACACUCUACCGAUCCUGGGUACGUGUCCAAAAACUGUGUCAACACUUGUAUUGUCCAUCACCCAAUAGCUGAGGGGCUACUGUUAGGCUGCCCAUGAGGUAUAUGGGCCAAAUAUUUGCCUAGAAGAGGCCCAAUUAGCAACUAGAGUAGUGUCAUGUGCACUAGUAAGUAGCCACUGCCUGUAUAAAUGCUCAAGGGUAUGAGGGCAAGGGACCUCACCUCCCACUCAUUUUUAAUAGCUCAAAACCCUAGUGAGUCCCUCUCCACCAUUGAGCUCUCUCCUCCCCUUCAUGUUGAACCAUCAGUUGCAACACAUUAUUUAACAUUCAUCAUAUUCAUCAACACUAUUGUGAUCAACACUAAUAUUCAAAAGUUCAAUAAUUAUUUAAUUUGGAACCCAACACUCUAAGAAGCGAUACAAAUAGACUUACCACCACGCUAGAGGUCGGUUAGUAUCUAGGAUGAAGGAGAACCGCCUGAAACGCCUAUGCGAUUUAGCCAAAAUGUUAAAUGUUAAAGUGUCCAAUUAGUUCAGAUCAUUUGAUGUUACUAGUUGACAAAAAUGCAUGGAUAAAUUAUUUAGCUUAUAACCAAUCGACCACAUAUACAGUGUAUGAUAAUUGCAACAUACGAGGUUGCUCUGGGUAAUGUGCUAGCGAAGCUAAAUGUAGAGAGAAGGCUUGCGAAGAUGAAGAAAUUGCUGCGAGAGAGGAAAUAUUUGUGCAAACAAUUGGAUAAGGAAAAGAAUGAGUGAUUUGUGCCAACAAGAACAGUACACUUGUGCUUCUUCCUCCUUUUUCACACUAGUUAGUAAUGUAUUCAUAAUCCAGGUGGCUGAAGUUUGUUACAAAUUAACUUCUCAAGUUUAGAUCUCAACAUGAUCCUCUCGAAUGCGUGAAAACAACUUUGAAAAGCUAAAUUCUUGAAGAUGAAUUCUUUAUUUCCUCUCCAUAUUAUUGUGGGAGUUGGCAAACGUGGAAACAACUUUGAAAAGCUAAAUUCUUGAAGAUGACCUCUUUAUUUCCUCUCCAUAUUAUUGUGGGAGUUGGCAAACAACAAGAUAUAGGAAACUAAAAAUAUCAAAACUGUUGGAAAUGCUCUAAAGCACGUUGCUGCUCUCGAUCCAUCGAAGCUGGGAUCGAAUCUUGGAAUGUGACAAAUUUUUUACAAUUUAUUACUAAAAAAUGUAUAUGUGGUCGAUUGGUUAUGAGCUCACCUAUUCACUGUUCAUAACAACCAGCCAUCACAAGUCUUAUUGACAAAAGCUAAACUCUGAUGGCAAACACUUAUUGACAAUGGCAAAUGUUUAUUGACAAAAGCUAAACUCUGAUGGCAAACGCGGCAACAUUCAGUCGUAAAGGCAGGUUCAAUCGUUCAGACUUAGCCAACCACCGCGUGAAAACCCAAAGAGAGGAAACAUGGAAACGAAACUCACAAAAGAAAAAUAAAACACGCAGACACACAUUAAGCUAGCAGUGGAUCUUGUCGGAACAAACUGAUCGAAACACAUGACUGGUAAUAUAAUCUAAUACUAAUAUAAGUAGGUUUCUUCUUGAUCUCGCAUCGCAUUGAUCUAGUCCUCGUUCUCGAUGAGCUUGAGGUACUCCUCCAGCUUGGGGUCGUAGCCAUCCGGCGGCGGGUGCUUCUUGGUGACUCUGGCGUAGCAUUUAUUGAGCUCCAUCUCAGGAUCGUACUUGUCAAUCUUCCCCGCCCGGCGAUACUCCUCCUCCACCUCCUCUUCGGUCAUGGCUGAGUUCAUAAUUUCUGCCCUAUGGCGGAGUCUGAAGAUGGCGUUCAAAGCACACCCGUCCAUGGGCCUGGUCGGGGUGAAAGAUCCGCAAGUCCAAUGUUCACAUUGCCGACCGGCCUAGAUUGGACUCGGCCCAGGAACGUGAGUGCGUUAGUUGCCACGAUCUGGGGUGUCUACUUAACGAAGAUACGAGAGAGGAGACAAGAGAGAACUUAUGUAUGAACAACAAAACUCGAUACUCCUAAAUCAUUCAUCUGUUCCUUCCAAAACUAAUCCCAUCUUUGCUCUCUGCUUAUCUUGCUUACGCUGUAGUAGACUAGUACCUCACUACCUCUUCCCUUUGUCUUCCAGAACCUUGAGUCCUUGACAUUAGCUGGGCACAAUCUGAUGCAAUGUGUAUAUAGGACAUCCAAGUGAUGAGUUUUAACAGAAGGAAACUGUAAAUGUGAGGAAAAAAUGACUUUAUGUUAAUAAAACUGUGAUAAAACAUAUGAUGUCUGUUGGCUCCUUGACCAGAGUACCCCACAUGCAGUACUAAAUAAAAAUGUUCCUUUUUUUUUCUACUCCAUCCUUUAUUUCAGACGUCCUUUCCUGUGCACUGUGCUUAUUUGGGCAGCAAAUGUUCAGCAUAUGUAGCUUCACUUCUUAUUAUUUAGUAUGUAUGUAGCUUUAUCUAUCCAAAAUCUAUGAUUAGAAAUAUAAUGAUGAUGUUCCAGAUGAGUUUCGGUUCAAGUCUCCUAAACUCCUGACGUGUAAAACGCAGUGUGUGAGAAAAUCCAUAUGAAUCACAUAGAUGGGCCCUAUUGGGUCGACAAUAGUAGCCGAAGAGGCCAUUUUGCAUCAGUUGGAAUACAUGCUGAAAUGAGCUAUGCAAGUGAAGUGGGCCCACCUUCCCCUAAAAAAACAAAACUGAAGUGAGCCCACCUUUAAUGCACGGAUGUCAUGAGUAGAUUCCACUAAAAAAAUUGAGUACAUUUUUUCCUCUCUUUUUUUGCCAUUGACUUUUUUCCAAACAAAAAAGGCAACAUGGUUUAAUGAAAAUGUAUAAACUAAUGAAAAUAAUUAAUAUAGGUCGUUCUUUCAUGAAAAGGAGAUUAGUGCUUAUAAUCUUAGCCCUAUUAAUGGUACACUAGUACAAAAAGAAGAUUUUUUUUUAGGAUCGCUUUUUUUUCUAUCAGAGGUGGUUAAAUAGCAGCCUAUAACAUUGCUAGGAGCACUGUAGCUCCAUACAGUCAUUGAAGAUCCAUUUUCAAGGGUGGUUCCAUUAAGAAAUCUGUGUCUAAAACUUGACUAUUUUUAGUGUCAGUUCCGUUAAGAGAACUAAAAAUUAAGUCUCAAUCUUUUUCCAUUUUAAAUUUUAUUUUUUUAAACGACUUUGGAUGGAAAAAUAUUCUAUAUGUAAGUUGUAGUGCUCGAUGAGAUCUAAAACCUUAAAUGAAAUUUUUCUCAUUUAAGAUCGUUUAAUAGUCCAAAUAUUGGUUACAAGAUCCAUAGUACAAAUGGAUAGCAUUGUGUAUCUUAAUACAAGUGACUACGUGGUAUAGUGAUGGAGGAGAGUUUGAAUCCGCACUGAAGAUGGCGAAAAUUAAAUUCUACGAGUGGCUGGUUGGUCUUCCGGCCACACUAAAUAUUUUUUCUUACUCUUAGUACUUUAGAAAAUUGAUUUUUAGUGAUGGUUGUUUUAAGUCAUUGUAGCAAUUUUUUAAAUCGCCUUUGUUUCUCUGUAGUUAAGAAGUUAGCGUUAGUAAAUUGACUAGCAAAUAUGUUCGUGCGUUGCAACAAAAAAAUAUUAAAUGACCUUAGAAAGUGAUGACAUAAUGUUACAUAUCUAUUUAUAUUUAUCCUUUUUAUAAAAUUUAAAGUUCAUAAUUUAUUUUAUUGAUAACCAUAACAUCUACAGUAUUAGAUAGUUAAUAUUUAUAAUAAUAUGUAGCUUGAAGACAUAUUUAUUUAAUAAUAAAAAUAGAAAUUAGUUAAACCUUAUCUCACUCUAAUAUUACCUCUUAAUAUACCUCAGUAUUAUAUUAGAACACGAGAAGGUUGUUGCUAGCAUUAUUUUUUUAUUUAGAUUAGGAUUGCUAUGAAAUAUGAAUCCAGCAUCACAUUAAAUAGGCUACCAUUAAAUUUUUAUAAUAAUUGGAGCAAGUUAAUUUUACACUAAAAAGCAUAGGCAAGCAUCUCCAACAAAAAAGUGUACUAAAAUUUAUGAUAUUUUUUGUUUAUUGUAUGGAUCUACAUAUGUGGUGUUGAACAAAAUUUGUUUUAUAAUUUUUAGAUUUUUCUAUGAAUUACUAUGCAUUUAUCAAUUUUCAGCCGAUUUAAGGAAUAAAAGAAAAGUAAAUUGGAGAUUUUACAUUGGAAACCCUAGAAAAAUUUUUAUUAUUUUUUCUCUCUUCCAUCAUACCAAUUCCAGAUGGGCUGAUUGGGCCGACCGACGGUAGAGGCGAUCGACGACGGGAGCGGACAAAAACAAUAAUAGGAGAUUUUGUAUUGGCAACCCUAGAAAAUUUUUUAUUUUCUUUUUGCUCUUAUACAAACGUUGGACGGAGGAGGCGACCGAUUCCGUAAACCGAACGCGGAUAAGAGCAUAAAAAUAUUAGACAGACUGAAAUUUUGACUUUUUAUAGAUAGGUAUAGAUACUUUGAUCCGAUGACGUUUUUGCUUAAUGUUUUACAGGGCACAGCUUGACAUACUGAUCAGGGAGGAAGCUGAUGCUUGGUGCCUUGCUGGUUUUAGGCAGCUAACCCCUUUGCUGGUAUUGUUGUAGCCUUGUGUGGGUGCUUCGUCGCUUUCUACUAUUUCUCUGUACGUGUGUCACUUCGGUAACCUUGAAUUACCUAACAAACUCUUCUCUGCUUAAUGAAAAACGUGUUUAGGCACGAUCGCAAAAAAAAAAAGCAAUGAAAAUCUAAGCCAUCAUGGUGUUGGAUAGAUAUAAACACAUAUACAUUGCGAUAGCGAUGAAAGAAAUUAGAUACGUUUUCUCUAAAAACGGUGCUACCAAGCUUAGAUCCACAGCAUAUGUAGAUUGAAAAAUGAGCUCCACAUAUACCAAACCUAAAAUGACAGUACGAUUUUCGGUGCACAGGCACAACACAACCAUAUAUAGUAGCACUGAAAACACGUGCGUGUUCGAGUUGUCUUCUUCCUCGCGCAAAUCCCAGGAGAUAUAUUGCGCGUGCUUUGCUCGCUGCAAGAGCCUGCAAACUCGUGCUCAGCCAUGGCCCAUGCAUAUAUGGUUCUCGGAAUGGACACAUGCGCAUUUUGCCGGCCAGAUCCUUUCUCACGCGCAAAACGUGCCGUGUUCCAUCCUGCCCGUACGUGCUGGCUGGCCGAGAGCUAGCGAGCGAAAGCCCAAAGCAAACUGACGUUAACGUGUGCGUGCGUGCUGCAUCACUUCGAGAAUUGGAGUUCCGUGCCGCGUAGUACUGCCGAAACUUUCCUUUUUCGUAUGUAUAGGCUUGUCAAUCAAUUAUCCAAACAAACUGUACGAUGUGAAACCAAAGUUAACGUUCACACAAAUCUUGUUGAUUCUCUGCUGGAACCUGGACCUGGAACUGGAAGUAUCUAGAGUACUUUUGCUUGUCUUUCUUUUUUUCUUGAGCUUUUUUGCUUGGAUUUCCCAGUUUUAAGAGACGUAGUUAAAUCCUUUUUCUUUUUUGGCGAACGAGCCUUCACAACUCAUGUUUCAUUAAGGCUCUGUUUGCUUCAUCAUAUAUGCUACUUUUUUUAUUAUUUUUUUAAUAUAUCUUACUUUUUUAUUAAAGCUAGCUAUUUUGAAACAAGUGUGUUUGAUAAAACAGCUUUCACAUGAUAGAACAAAAGGAAUAAAAAUAACUAAUAUGUGAGGCGGUGAGCUAGGUUGACUCAUGUCUAUGUAAGAGGAAAAAAAAACUUCCAGUCAUAAAGUUGUUUUGAAAAAUAAGAUACUGUUUGAUUCCCUUUGCUAAAUUUAAAUCAUUUCAAUAACUGAAUUUCCAAAUAUGCUUGUCCCGAGAUCCUACAUCGCACCCACUUUCCCGAACAGGAAAGGGCCAUCGUGGCCGUACGCGCGCCCGCACAUGUUCCCUUCCUCUCCCACGACGACGACUCCACGAGGAGUCGAGGUCACGUCCUUCUCCGACGCAACGCGGCCCCCCGCUCGGACUUGCACCAGCGCGGCUCCCGCCUCGUGAAGCGGCGGAAAUGCCACUCCGCCAAGCCUUGCCACUUCCAUGCAACUGCCGACUGCCAACCAACCAGCCAACCGUGGCUACUACACCUACGCACUCGCCGAUCUCGCCCCGCCUAAAUCUUAGGCAGCCGCAGUCCGCAGUCGGCAGCGCCGCACGGCCAUUUUCCGCUCGUGGCCCAACCCAACUGCCGCCGGCCGGCCGGCCGGCCGCCGAUCCACGAAUGGUGACUGAACAACACGAGCUAGCUAGCUGUCCCAUCCCAACUCCAGAUGGAUCCUGCUUCUCUUCUUCCUUGCCAUGCUCGAGUCGACUGUAUCGUAUUGUAUAUAUACCUGGCCGUGCUUUUGGGGAUGGCGAUCGAUGCCCAUUCGUUCCCAUCUGCUGCUGCUGCUGCUGCUGCUGGUUCGUGGAGAGGGAUUAUUCGAGAGGGUCGUCGUCGUCGUCGUCCAUGGACAGCAACGAGAUGCCCGGGAAGAAGGCGAGGAAGCCCUACACCAUCACCAAGCCCCGGGAGCGCUGGAGCACCGAGGAGCACGGCCGCUUCGUCGACGCGCUGCUCAUGUGAGUUUGUCACUUGUGAGAGCCACAGACAGCUACCAGCCUUCUGAUUCAGAACCUAUUCUCUAAAUGAGUCUGAACCGUUUUGCUACACGCCGCUAAUUUUUUUUUUCCCCUCAGGUUUGGGCGCGACUGGAAGAAGAUCGAGGAGCAUGUCGGCACCAAGACAACCAUCCAGGUAUCCUGAGUUCCUGACUGCUUCUUGAUCAAAGAUGUGUUUGCAUUUGGGGAUUCAGUAUCUCGUCCCCAAGAGCUGAAACUCUGAACACAAAUGCGCGCUGCAGAUACGGAGCCAUGCCCAGAAGUACUUCCUCAAGGUCCAGAAGCUCGGGCUAGCCGCCGGGCUGCCGCCGAUGUACCCGAGGCGCCACUUCGCCAUGCAGCAGCAGGAACAGCAGCAGACCACGGUGGCCGGUAGCAGCGCGGCUGCGGCCGCCAUGCCAUUGCUUCACGGCCUGCAGCAGCAGCAACCUAUGUGCGCGCCGGUCGCCAUGCCAGGUCUGUCCGAGUCCGACGCCGUCGCUCACGGUUCUUCCAUCGGCUGGAACAGCCCCGGCGUCCUUCCUGCACCCAGCAGCGGCAAGUGCCUUCCAUUUUUCAGAACGCUGUUCUCACGUUGCUGCAUCCUGAAUGGCGUUCUCAAUCUGACGUUUCUUCUGAACAUUUUCCAGAGAUGCAAGGCUUGGACUGGGCAGCAGGCCCGUCAGCUUCAGGGACAGCACCACUGAUGAACACCGACGCGCAGAGCCAGAUUGUGCCAUUGGCCGGUAAUUUUGUAUGGCAACGAAUCUUGAUUCCUUUCCAACAUGUCGUGAAAAAUAACUUGUUCCUGCUGAUUCAGGUGGCGGCCGGUUCAUUGGGGCGCCGAGCUUGAGCAGCACCAGCAUAGAUUGGGCUGGCAGUGGCAGCAGCAACGCAAGCGAAGCGUCAGCGAUCGGUGCCGUGCAUGAUGAACCGAUCGAGCUUCCAUUAUCACCCGGUAAGUACUAACACCUUUCCAGCAUCAAAACUUCUUUUCGCGAACCGAACUUGAGAUGGUGAAAGUGGAACAACAUGAUGGCUUCAGAAAUAACCGUGAGCUGAAUCUUCUCCCGCAGAGGAUCUGCCAUUUGCGCAGGUGUACAGGUUCGUCGGCGACAUGUUCGACCCCAACACGCCGAUCCCAGUAGAAACCCAUCUGCAGAAACUGAAGGAGCUGGACGACAUCACCGUCAAGACAGUGAGUACUGAAUCCAUUUCUUGCAUCUUGCAUUUCACACGACUUCCUCUCCUGUUUGUUGAGUUGAACCGAAAUCAUCUCCUGCAGAUCUUGCUGGUGCUGAGAAACCUCGAGAACAACCUGUCAGCGCCUCAGUUCGAGCCCGUGGUAAGAUUUAAGAAGCGCUUUCUGACGCCUCCUCAUGUUAGCUGAUAGCCUGAUGGCUCUGCAUUCUCUGAAUCUGAAGCUGCCCUUUGAGCUCUGCGUCCUCCUAAUUGCUUCGACUCUGUUUGCUCUGCUUUUCAACAGAGAAGGUUACUGUCAACGUAUGAUCCGACAAGAGGCGUGUCUGGCCAAUUGUAGAGCGCAGCUCCUUGAGACGGUCUGGGGAGUGGGGGAGGCGCAACUAACACAAAUAGAUGGAUGGACGUUCAGCACUUCAGGUGCUGCACGAAUGACAGAAAGAGAGGCUGAAACUCAAAUAGACAGACACCGAUAUGCCUGGUUUUCAGGCUGACAUACGUACGCUAGAAGAUGUUAACAAUUCUUUUGGAAAUUCGCGGCUGUCUAUAAAAAAGCACUUACUUUUUUACUACCAUGUACCGAUUGUUAAGGACUUGUUGAGUAGUCCACAUCCUUGAUUCUUCUAGCCUUCUUUUGUAAAACUCGCGUGUCGAUUCAGAUGAAAGCUUGAAAUUCGUUUGGCAACAAGGAUCCACGUCUGAACUGAACAUGUGUGCCAGCAGAACAGCAAUGGAUUUGCGCACGUUUCCCACACCAAACUUGUUCGGCGAGCUUUGAUGUAUCCAGACACGUUCAACAUGUGCCGUAUCGCUCGAUCAGAAUUACGCACGCGGCAGGAUGACUGCUGCUGGUUGCAGCAGAAAAAAAAAAGGCACGCGUUGUCGUUUCGUUUCCCCCGAUUCAGGUCAGCACACAAAAUGUAGCCGCGUUCGGCAAGGAUUGAAAUGAUGGGCCGAUUUGGUUUGCCAAAGCACUCACUUCAGGCUCUUGCACUUACUGUAGCAAUUUCAAGGUAAUGAUGCACAUAGCAGUACUGUAUUAUACUCGGCUUGUACUGUAUAUACGACUGGUAUACAACACUGCAUGCAUGGUGGUACAUACGCCGAGCACGUUACAUGAACAUGACCAGAAACACACGUCUCACUUUAUUCCGUAUACAAAUAACGACUACUGGCACUCGUAUUGAACGUACGUACACGUAGGACGCGUCCUGCCUGCUUGCACUACUUUAUUUAAUUUAUUUAUAGGAACUGUGUGCAGUGCAUGCUUAGCUACGGCUGGCAGGAUACGUACGUACGUACGUACGCGGCUGCCGGCUGGCAGAUACGUACGUAGAGCCGUAGAGGUAGGUGUCGUGUUGUUUCGAUCGAUGGCUUUCAGCUUCACUUCCACUUCCUGAACUUGCCGCCGCCGAACAUGCCGCCCUUGUGCUUGCCGCCGUAGCCGCCGUGGUGGCCGCCGCCAUGGCUGUGGCUGCUGUGGUACGAUCCCAUGUUCCCUGAUGAUGAGCCCCGCAAAGCGCAGCAGACAGCAUAAUGUUCACAUAAUUAAGGCCUUGUUUAGUUCCCAGAAAAUUUUGUAAAAUUUUUCAGAUUUUCCGUCACAUCAAAUCUUUAAACGCAUGUAUAAAGUGUUAAAUAUAGAUGAAAAUAAAAACUAAUUACACAGUUUGGUCGGAAUUGACGAGACGAAUCUUUUGAGUCUAGUUAGUACAUGUUUAGAUAAUAUUUGUCAAAUACAAACGAAAGUGGUACUAUUCCUAUUUUGUAAAAUUUUUUUGGAAGCCUAAGAAAACCGGGCGCAGAAAUGUCAAACAAACGGUAAAGGUCACAGAAUUCAGAAAUACUAAAUUUAUUAUAUAGAACGUACACGUAGUGCUACCGUACGUACCGUAGUGCGCCGAGUGCGCGGGGUAGGCGGCGGCGGGCGGGUAGCCGCCGUGCGGAGGAGGGUACGCGCCGGCGGCGGCCGGAGGAGGGUACGCGUGGCCGUAGCCCUGCCCAUGGCCGCCGUAUCCAUGCCCAUGGCCGCCGUAGCCGCCAUGGCCGCCGCCAUAGCCGUGGCCAUGGCCGCCGCCACCGCCGCCGUGGACGAGGUUGGACACGUAGCCCUUCACGCCGCCGUUGUGGCCGUGCAUGUCGUGCCCUCCGCCCAUGGUGCUCUCGUGAUGAUGAUGAUCAGAUGCGAUGCGAGUGAUGGAUAUGGAUCGAUCGGAUGCGUGCGCUAUGGAACCCGUACGUGCUCUGCUCCCAGCUGGCCUCACUGCUCUUCUGCGGGGGCUGGCUGUGGCUGCGCCCGAAUUUAUAGCGCCACGGCCGAGGCCUUCCUGCGCCUCCGCCGCGGCGGCGGCCUUUCGAGGUGUGCCGAAUCCGCACACGUACCACCCCAUGCAAAUAAUAAUAUUCUUCCAGCAGCUUCAUAUCAGGCUGAUAAGACCGUCGUGUAUCGGAUUCCAAUUCUCUUGCUCAAAUGCAAAGGCCCGGCGAGAUGCUUUGCCAUAUUUCACGGUUAACAUUCCACGGCCACAAAACCGCACACCUGGCACGUCUCAUCCCCGUGCAUACUUGAAGUCUUUGUUACUCGCUCCAGUUUUUUUUACGUUUCUCUUAAAUCAAUCAUUUAUUCAUUUGAUUAUCAAUUUCAAAAAUUCUAUAUGAUUUCACAACAUGUGAAAUAUACCCCCUUCUCCAAAAAAAAUAUAUUAUAAAAUUAUUUUUCUAAAAGAUACAUUUACAUUUUUUAACGAUUUUAAAUUAAUUGUUAAAGAUGAAAUGUUUCAUUUAGGAUAUAUAAAGCCUUUUUUUAACCGAACAUGUGAAAAAACGGAGAGGGUCAUACAAAAUAUUGUAAACGGGCCUCCAGUAUUUUCCAAGCUAAUCUGGGCUAAAUGGGCCUUUUUUAACAAAUGGACUUUAACAGGGCCUCACGUUGACAAAGUCGUCAUGGGCUUCCAAGCCUAUUAUACAAAGUCCUAAAUCAAGUACUACCCGCCCGCCGUCCCGCCUCCUUCCGAUGCCCGCCGUGGCCGUCCAUGACUCCAACCUGUCGAAUCCCAGCCGUCCAACCCUCAAACCCCGUGGCCGGGAUAUAAAAUACUGGCUGACGCGGCUCGAGUCCCGACAACCAAAAUUUCUCCUCCAGCGUCUGCGUGUGCUUUGUCUCGUGGCGACGACUGAGCGACCGGCGCCGCCGCCGCCUGCCGCCGCCGCUCGGACCUCCGCCAGUCCUUCGGGCCCAGCGAAACGAGCACCCAGUAGGUACGCCCACUGCUUCUCUGCUCUUUCCUGCUGUGCGGAACCGAGCUCCCAAACCCUAAAUCACGCUAUUUAUACUCUCUGUAUAUAAAUCACGCUAUUUAUAUUUGGAUCCGAUCUAAUGACAAAUCUAUACAUGUCGAUUUUUUUGUUUGAAGAAAAUUAUCAGUAUGUACACCCAUGUCAUGUCCUUUACUUUAUGAUUGCGCGCAGAUGGAUCUGUAAUCUUUGCUAGGUCAAGUAUGGAUGUUUUGCUCGAUUGUAGCGCCUACCUGCUUCGAGUUUUUGCUAUUAGUAGUAGCAGUACUAUAUUCGCUAUUGAAAAUGACCUGACUUGAAUGCACCGUGAGAUACUGAGAUGUUUGGGUGUUAGGGCUGCCUUUUGUAUCAUGUGUUUUCUUUUGUGUCGAUGCGUCCUUGCUUUAUAUUGUCGGUACGGAUGCUAAUAUAAUCGAUUAUGUGUUGCAGUCAAGAUGCCCCGCUACGACGAUCGUUACAAUGAUCGUUACGAUGACCGUUACGAUGAUCGUUACGGUGGGAACACACGGCUGUAUGUGGGUCGUGUCUCUUCCCGUACAAGGACACGGGAUCUUGAAGACCUUUUCGGCAGAUAUGGGAGGUUAGCAAGAUGGUUCUAAACCUGAGAUGGUUUAUGCUCUUUUCAUGAAACCAAGGAUUUUCUUUUUGAAAUUUGACGAGUUAUGGAUGCUUUUGAUCUGUAUUCCAAUGCUUUUUUAGCUCUGUCCAAUUUACAGAACCACUUAUGCAACUUAGGCCCUGUUUGGAUUCCACUAGAUUGUGGAAUCCAGCUUGGGAUCCAAAAGCCCAGCUUUUGCAAUCCAUAAGCUGUAUGUAACUUGUGUUUUGGAUCUACCUAUUGGAUGGUAUAUGGCAUUUGGCCUGUAUACUUGUACCAAACGGCAUUACCGAAUUCCAUGAUAAGGUAGCAGGAACGUUUAAAACCUGUUUGGAUUGCAGGUGAUAGCAGAAUGACUAUGAAAUUCCCUUACAAAUAAUUGUAUCUUUGAGACUGAACCCUUAAUUAAUUGGAUGUAACAAUAUUUUGCAUGGUAUUAGCACAUAACAUGCCUUUCUCACCUGCUUUAACUAAGUGACACCUAUUUCGACAUGAUCCUACCUAAUAUAAGACCUGAGUUACAAGGAAAUCACGGUCAGCUGUGCUACUUUUUCCUUCUGGAGGUUUGUCCAUUGAUAUCUAAUCAAUUGAUUGAAAUGAAAUAAAAUACUUUUGUUCUUUACUUUCCUUGAUCUGAAAAUAUAUUAAAAAUCCCAUUAGAAUCUCUGUUACCUGUUGAGAUUGGCAUCUUAGGCUGCUGUGUACUGUCAUGCUCAGCAUUGUUUUUAUUAAAAUUAGAUCCACACACCCUUCAUGUUUUAACUUGGAUGAUCUUGUUGAAGGUUUUGGGGGCUUACCCAACCUCGGUGUCCAUGGUGGGAGGGUGCCCUUGGUGCAAUUGCUGGCUGUUCUCCCAAAGUUGAAACUUUGCUGAUUCUUUUGAAAAAAAAUACAUGUUUUAAUGGAAAUUCACAGUCAUGACUUGUUUAGUUCCUUCUGACCGGCGAUUCAUAUCUCUACUUGCUUCUUGACGGUGUUAAUGUUUCUGGAAACCAUUUCCGCAGAGUGCGUUAUGUGGAUAUGAAGCAUGAGUUUGCGUUUGUUGUAAGUGGUCUCGCUCUACUUGAGGCUCAUGAGUUAUUUUUGUCAACUAAAUAGCUUUUUACCCUUUUCACAUAUAUGAGGCCUCCUUUUUCUGAAUUGUAUUGCAGGAGUUCAGUGAUCCCCGAGAUGCUGAUGAUGCAAGGUAUCACCUUGAUGAUAGGGAGUUCGAUGGUAGCCGAUUGAUUGUUGAGUUUGCAAAAGGGGUAAGCUACAAGAGCCCUCUGUACUAUGUAAUUUAUUCCUUUUCCAGCUUCAUGUUUUUUAUUUUCUUAUUCCUUGUUCCACCUGAAUGCAAUUUUCAUUGCAAUUUAGAUUCCACGUGGUCCAGGAGGAUCCCGUGAAUAUAUGGGCAAGGGACCGCCUCCUGGUUCUGGCCGCUGCUUUAACUGUGGUAUGGAUGGGCACUGGGCUCGUGACUGCAAAGCUGGUGACUGGAAAAACAGAUGCUACCGCUGUGGAGAUAGGGGCCAUAUAGAAAGAGACUGUCAAAACAGCCCUAAGAACCUGAGGUACCUCCUGUGAGAUUUCUUAUUUUUUACAACUAGACUAGAUCAUUUCAUGCUUGACUGUAAGUUGUCUUUUUUCAAAGUAGGCGUGGAAGAAGUUACUCAAGAUCCCCAUCCCCUCGUCGUGAAAGGAGCCCUGUUAGGAGUUACAGCAGGAGCCGCAGUAGGGGCUAUAGGUAUGUGAUUUUGUAUAUUUUGAUUUUAACCAAUUAGCUACUAUAUUAGUACACUUUCAUUUUAUUUGUCAUGAUGAUGAUGUCCCAAGGAGUCUUGUGGUUGAAACUUUAGCUUAUAUAUACAGCAUCUCAGGCACAACUAUCUGAAUCAGAGCAUUAUUAUUUUCUGGUUGUGCAUAUCCUUGGCUGCCUGGAAAACUUGGGCCCCACCCAGGUGUCGCUUCUUCAUGUGGUUAGUCGCACAUGACAGGUGUUGGACUGCUGAUAGGCUGGCAAAACGAGGGAUGCCACACCCGGCACAAUGCCCUCUAUGUGAUCAAGAAGAGGAAAAUAUUAAUCAUUUGCUGGUAUCCUGUGUCUUCGCCCGACAGUUUUGGUUCUUCUUGUUUCGACGUUUUGGGUUUCAGCACCUCUGUCCACAACUUUCUGAUUGCUCAUUUGAUAAGUGGUGGGAUGAUUCCAGUAAGGCUGUUAGUGGAUUUACUAAAAAGGGGUUCAACUCUCUUGUAAUUCAUGGAGCAUGGACCUUAUGGAAUCAUCGUAAUAGGUGUGUGUUUGAUGGAGAUAACCCUAGCUUGAGUACCGCCCUUCACCUUGCUCUAGAGGAGAGUCAGUUGUGGGCUGUGGCUGGGGCCCGAGGGCUGUCUUUCUUGACUGCCCCACCUCCUCAACCCCCUGUUAUGCUGUAGCAGCUUGGUGGCUGUUUAGUCGUGGUCGUACUUUCCCUUGACAGGCGAUAUAUAGCUGUUUUCUUUCUUGUGUGAGUGGUGUUGUGUUGUGUGGUGUGGUGCUGUAAUUUGUGCAGUGGUGUUGUGUUGUGUGGGUUGUACUUGGGGUCUAUCCCCUUUUUCCUUCUUCUAUAUAUAAUGAAGCGCAGCUCUCCUGCGUUUUCGAGAAAAGAUGUUCUGGCUGUUGCUGAGCUCAAGUAUGGGUUACUUUGCGACUUUACGAGUACAAUAUGGAAUAUACUAACCUACUCAUAAUGCUCCAAAUAUAUUUUUAGUGAUUUGAUAUGACAUUUUUAGUGAUUUCAUAUGACAAAAGGCUGAUUGUUGAUUUGGUACGGUAAAAUGCUCUUUGAUUUGAUUAAAGUUCUGUGUUCUGAUGAUUCAGUUAUUUCUUCCUCUGCUCAUCUUUGUGAAGUUUGUAGUGUCAAGCACUAAUAAUGUAUUCUUUCCUUUUCAUAGCCGUUCACGAUCUCCAAGGCAGAACAGCCGUGAUGAAAGGAGCCCUCGUGACAGCCGCAGCCCAAGGAGGAGCCCUCGCGAUAGCCGCAGCCCAAGGAGGAGCCCCUCACUGUCCAAGGGAAGAGACCGCAGCCCCAGCCCUAAUGGUAGCAGGAGCCCUGCACCAAGGGAACGCAAUGGCUCAGAUUACAGCAUGAGCCCUAGGAGGGAUGACAGCCGUAGUCCAGCAGACCACCUGCGCCGUGAGAUCAGUCCAGCAGCCAAUGGUCGUAGCCCUAGCCCAGGGGUCAAUGAUAAUGGCAAUCACCGCUCAUCUCCCUGAAUAUGUUUCUGGGAUCGGUUUUACCCCCCAAAUGUUUAUUAACCAUCCCAAACAUCUUUAUGGUUAGGACUGGUUUUUUGUGUUUAUUAUGCAAUUGUGGAUAAACCAUACCAUCUGUUACUUGUAACUUUAAAGUGCACAAACGGAUCAUUUUUGCUUGCUCUUAUUAUUCUAUGAAAAAGGGAAUUCUUUAUGCGUGCAAAGAUGGUUUCUGUGGGACUAUGGCGGGAUUGCAUUAGCACAUACAACAUUGUCGCAAAUGAAUAUAUAUGCCCUACAUUGCUACAUUUGUGGUGUUGGCUUCUUACUGUCGAUGUUUAAACUCUUGGCGGGUACUUUUCAAUACAUGUAUUCUUUUUAUAAAAAAAAUUGAUUAUUCUCGAAUGUAGAAACCUCAACCUACCAUUAUUCAUGCAUUGCAGCCUGGACAUUUGUUAAUCUGAUGAUUGAUCAGGUUGAAAGUAAAUCUAUCAGAUUUCCUUAUUUUGGCCUUCUAGCAUGUUCUAUGCUUCAUCUGCCGCCCACAUUGACCAUCUGCCAGAAGACACCUCGCAUGGACACGGACACAUCGACAUCGGUGAAGCUGGCGUCAGUGGCACCCUCUCCCUCCUCGCACCCGGCUUCGUUCUGAUGCGAGCUUGUCCGACGAGAAUCCAAAGGCGGCAUCAGCUCGCGCACCAGGCUCAGGCUGUUGACGUCGGAGAACUCGAGGCCGUCGUCGUCCUGCAGCCGCGUCACGAACUGCAGGCUCCACACGACGUCCUCCAUCGCCGGCCUGUCCGCGCCGCGCGCCGCGAGGCACCUGGCUGCCGUCUCGCCGUACUUCCUCAGCGCCUGGGGCCUCACCGCGGCGGCGAUCCGGCGGUCGACGAUCUUGUCCAGCUCGCCCCUGCCCUGCCAGUGCAGAGCCCACUCCACCAGGUUCACCAUCGGCUUGGGGAGCCUCGGGUCCACGACGGGGCGCGCGCACAGCGCCUCCAGCAGCACGACGCCGAGCGAGUACACGUCGGACUUGGUGGUGAGCUGCCUCGUGCGCACGUACUCCGGGUCCACGUACCCGAAGCUGCCCUUCACCGCCGUGCUGACGUGCGUCUCCUCCAGCUCCGGCCCGGCCCUGGACAGGCCGAAGUCGGCGACCCUGGCGGCGAGGCCGCCGUCCAGGAGGAUGUUGGACGACUUGACGUCGCGGUGGAUCACCGGCUUGGCCAGGGCCGUGUGCAGGUAGAGGAGCCCCCUAGCCGCGCCGGCGCAGGCCUCCAGCCGCUGCGCCCAGCCGAGCGCCCGCUCCGCCGUGGCGGCGCCGGCGCCGUACAGGCGGCUCCUGAGAGAGCCGUGCUCCAUGUACUCGUACAGCAGGAUCAUCUCGUCGCCCUCGUCGCAGUAGCCGACGAGGGACACGAGGUGGCGGUGGCGCAGGCCGGACAGCAGCUCGAUCUCCGUGCGGAACUCCCGCGCGCCCUGCCGCGACUCCGGGCUCGCGCGCUUCACGGCCACGCUGGUGCCGUCCGGGAGCGUCGCGCGGUACACCUUGCCGAAGCCGCCGGCUCCGAUGACCAGCCGCUCGUCGAAGUCGUUGGUCGCGUCUCGCAGCACGGCGAACGGGAAGCGGUAGCUCGGGACCGGAGAGGCAGCGAUGGGGAUCAUGUCUCUGUCGACGGCGAAUUUGGAUGAACCUGUUCCGCUGGCGCCCGGUCGUCGGCUGCGCAAGCUCAGUCGAUCGAGGAGCGGCAUCCAUGGAGUCGGCGACUGGCUCCGGGACGACGACGGUGUAGGCAGCACCUUCUCCUCUUUCUUCCUAAGGAAAAUGACAAGUACAGCAGCAAUGGACACGGCGGCGAAUGCUCCACAUACUGAGCCCAAAACGAUGGCCAAAUGCUGUGCCUUCGAUCCUGCCGUCGGCUCGACGACGACGACAGAACCUGAGCUGAAGUGCAUCUUCAUGAUCUCGACCCCGUUCAGGAUGGGGCCUGGCAGUGUGCUUCUGUUCAUCUUCAUCGACGACGACGAGGCAACAUAAACCGCGAUCUUGCCGGACGGAUCGCUGGAAUCCAAGAUGAAAUCCUUGUAGUAUGGGACGGCCAACGCGCCGUUCCCUAUCAUGGAGAGAUUAAGACCGGUGACCACUACGUGGCUACCCACGUACGCAUCGAUGCUGAGCAGGUGAGGCGCCACCGCCAUGCCCACGAUGUUACACCAGUGGAAUCUGAUCAGGUAGCUCGACGGCCGCUCGUCCACGUCGAACUGCCACGCCAGUUGGUCCACCGUGUCCGACAUGGCCAGCUCCCUGGCCGUGGCGUACACGAUGUCCGGCGCGUCGUCGGCCGUCGCCUGGCCGGGGAGAUAAUCCAGCCUCCCGUUGUAGACUAACUCUUGGGUGCUGAUGUUGACCGACCGACUGAUGGAGGCGGCCAGGUAGCGCUCAUCGGUGGUCCAUUCCCGCGUUAGCGUGUCGCCGUCGGCGGCGACAGCGGCGCCGCCAACGUUGACCCUGUACGCCGUCUGCAGCGGCAUCACGGCAGGGUCGAGCAGCUGGUCGGACGACGUCCGUACCGGGUGAACGAUGAGGUCGUCGGGGACCGAGACGACCUCGACGGCGUUGACGAAGGCGAGGCCGCCUCCGGCCACCAGCGGCACGAACGUGACGACGAGCGUGUCCCGGGUGACGUACAGCAGGAACUCCCUGCGCACCGCCGAGGACGUCGUGCCGUCCGUCGUCUUAUUCUCCGGUGCGAAGCCGUCCAUCAGGACGACGUCCUGCGUCGACACCUUGAAGCUCGCGGCGGCGAGGUCGUAGCCCUGGCACGCGAAGGCGAAGAAGUGGAGGCGGACGAAGUGGCGGCCGGGCCGGCUGAUGCCGAAAGAGUAGGACGACGGCGCCGUGAACACCCUGGCGGUCUGGUACAGCGCCGGCGCGGCCUCGUCGGAAUCGGAACCCGACCACGGCGUGUCGGGCGAGGCUUUCACGGCGGCGCUUUUGGGCGUUGUCAGAGUGACGGAACCGGAGUCGCUGUCGGCGACGAAGACCCUCCGGCCGACCUUCGUGUUGACCGAAGAGCCACAGCUGAUGAGGUAGUUGUCGGCAGGAGUGUACGCCGUGCAGAAACCGCAGAGGAUCGAGAUGAUCGCCACGAAGCUCAGAGCCACCUGGAGCUUAAUAACCAUGGCGGAUUAAACGUUCGAUGGCAACCUACAACAAAAUCAUGGAGGUUGUCUUUAGUCUGUAGUUUCAGUUGAGAUUGCAUCUGCAGGUAAGAGAAACUAGACCGGAAUUCAGGCUGCUAACAGUCAGGUACUGAGAUUUCUCUGUUCAUUUUUCUUCUUUUUUGAGCAAAAACAAGAGAAGAACAUGGCGGUGAGAGCCAGAACUCAGAAGUACCUUGACAAGUGUUCUGAUCGGUGGACGUACUGCUGCACAGCAAGCUUUACUCGCAUGCCAGCAUGCGAGACAUCAUCAGCUCUGAAGAACCUGAGUCCCACGGACGGACAAGAACUCACAGAACCAAACCGCUAAAAGGCUCCAUGCCCGCCUCUUGGAUACUAACAGUAACAGCUAGUGCUUAGCACACAACAGAAGUCACAGAAUACCGAACUGCCAGAUUCGAGCCAAACUAUAAAGGUCCAAACAGAGAGCUCUCAGCGAUGGCAACAACCCCUUCCUUGGGCCCUUGGAUUGGCAGAAGCUUACACUUGGGCAAGUCGAAGAAGCACAACGACGAAUGCGUCCUGCUCUGAAUGAAAGGAACACUGCAGUCCUAAAACCAAUGGGUUCAGUCAUUCGUCAAGCGCAACUAGUCCUCCAUGGCUGAAUAAUUAACAUGAUACAGAAGCUGAGAUAUUAAUAUAUUUCUUUUUAUAAAAAAAAAGCCUGUGCAGUUAGUUUUCAGUCUUGAGUCUUCAGUUUUCAGACAUGAUUGGCCUACUGAUGGACCAGGCUUGGAGGAUUACAGGAACAACACGACACUGGUCAGAGGAACGACCUGCGAGGCUGCCACCGUUUCCACGGCAGCCGGAGACUUCAACGCGAGGGAGAGGUCGUUAUCAUUAUCAAAAGCGACUUCGCUUGACUGAUAAGCAAUAGCUAAAAACACUGUUUACUGAUUUAUUGAAGGACUGAUAAUUUCGGCAGCAAGCGAAUAAGCUUCAAUUUGGAUGGAAGUCUGCUAACUGCAGUCCUACGUUUUACUAACUACAGUCCUACGUACCGGACUACUAAUUGACCCAUCGUUUUGCUGGUAAAGGGGACUACCAAUUGACCCAUUGUUUUGCUGACAACGGGACAGUUAAAAAAAAAAACUCAUCCUGCAGGGUAAGACAGUCAAGGUUUUUAAUUUAGGUGUCGCAAAAAUUUCGGCCACCAUCUAAAUUACCGAAUUUUGUAAAAUUCGACCGGAAUUUUUUUAGAGACUAGCACAUGAAGUAUGCUUUUCUUUUAAAAAAAAUAGAUUUAAACAAGUAUCAGUAUGAUUUAUGAUUACACAUCUAUUGAAUAGAAAAAUAUGCAAUAUAAACAAUAACAUAUGUAUUAGUAUAUAAUGAAAAUUUGAGUUUUUCUUUCGGCCACCACUGAAAUUCGUGAAAUUUCGGUGAAAUUUCGCCGAAAUUUUGAACCCUGAAGACAGUAGCCUAUGCUUUGACGUGAGACUGCUGAGAGGAAUUCUCUUUUCAAGGAAAAUGGCAGUGCUUUGCAUUUAAAGUCUUACACAACAUAGAACAUACAACUAUCUGUUGAAUAGGUGUAAGCUGUUAGAUUCAUUAAUCUUACAAUUUUCUUAUUUUAACCUAACAUAUGCCUGAUUCAUGUCCAGGGAAUAAAUAAACUAUCUCGAAAUUAGCUUUAGGCAAAAGCAUAACAUAGGCCAUAUCGGCCUAAAGAUGGGCUGGGAAGCACCAUUUCGUGAUCCAGAAUAUUGACCAUUCUGGGCUGGAAGUAUAUCGGGCGGGAACACUACUGCAGGCCAGUAUGAAUUUGGUCCAACACUGGCAGCAAGGCCUUUAGUCCAAGUCACUGCAAGCUUUACCUUUCUGGAUGGAUCAAAGAACAAAAAAGGAAAAUGCAUUCCUUUGCUUUUAGUUGUAGCAAUUUCGCAAAAAUGAUCAUGUGAUCUGCAAAGCAUAAACCUAUUAGUAAAGCUUCUUCCAAAAUAGUAGUAAUUCUUAGUAAAUCCAAGCUCAAUCACAUUCACAUGUGGAAUGAGCACAUGACCUCACCCUUUUCCUGUGGGCCCCAGGCAAUGUUGCUAUCCGUCUGGAAACAGACAACAGAACUGCUUGGCUUCUUGUUUAACUGAAUGAACAAGAACACCGCCUUUUUUUAGAUUAAAAAAAACACCGCCUUUUUGCUUUAUUUUUUCUUUUGAAAUCAUAAAUAUGCCAAACAUUUAAAAAAAAAGGAAGAGAAACGGAAAAGAGCAAGCCGACCAGCAGUUGAGGUGUUCAACUCUGAGAAAAGCCUGAAGCCUGAAGCGCCUCCCUGAAGAGAAGCGACCGCCCCACCUGCUACUCCCUUCGCCGUCGCCACCAGGUCGUGAUCCCGCGAUGUCCUCGUGGCUGCGGAGCGCGGUGAGCAAGGCCGUCGAGGCCGGCGGCCGCAGCGGCGUGGCCCGCACGGUCCUCGGCUACGCCGACGCCGUCGCUCACCACGCCGGCCAGGCCGUCGCCGAGGGCGCUAAGAUCAUCAACGAGCGCAUGGUGAGCGGAUUCCUCUCCGUGCCCCUGCCCCCUGUCCCCAGACUCCGUCCAAUUGGCCUGGAAACGUGUUUCGUUUUUUGUUUGUUGCUGAUGAGGCGGAGGUGUUUCGUCCAAUUGAGAAAUAAAUCCAACUUAUAGGGCGGGGGUGCGGCUCGCGUGUAAUUUGAGCUCCUAUUCUACCUUCGUCUGGUCCAAUCUAUGUGGUAGCUUCUAAUUCGGAGUAACGAUGGAGUAAUGAGUGAUCUGUCAGUGUCACACUUCCAUGUUCUAGAACGGGGGUGGCUGCUAAAAAGGGGGAAAUGGCUAAAUGUUGGGGCAUUUAGGGUUCACGCUGGUGCAGUAUGUAUAGACUGACUGUCCUUUAUAUAGAAAAACCCUUGUAUACUGGUGAUGAAAUGACUCCAUCUGAGGAACAUUUGUAUUAUGCUUUUGUUAUGGGAUUUGCAGAGCACUCAGAACUACAAAAGUGUCAAGCAAACAGUGAAGCGAUUGGAAGAGGUAGCGGUUUCAUCGCGCGGGGAUGAGAGAGUUCAAGCGCUAAGGCGCUGGCUCAGAGCCCUACAGGAGGUCGAGGCUGAAGUUGGAGGUUCGGGUGGGUCUCCCAGGCAAACUGCCCCUUCAAGCGAGCCAAACUCCUCAAAAGCAUCAUUGGCCAAAGUAUGCAUCUGCCUAUCAGACUUCAUGUUCUUGACUCUUGGGUUUUGCCUAUUCAUACAGGGAGCUCAUUGGAUUUGUUUUGUCAUUUAUGGCAUAUAGGCAGCACACUUAUGUGCUACUCUGGUUUUCAUCCAUGAUAACAUCGUAGACACAUCUCUGCAGGUUUUGUUUUAUGAUGCUGAUAUUGGAGGGCCUCCAAUGAACUUCCGAGAUGUAUUCCUUUAUAGUCAAGCACUUGAGGGUAUUACGUUGUCCAUGGUGAGUUCAAUUUAUUCUAUCCUGGCUGUCAAGAACUCAACAUACCAUCUACACCUGUAUAACCCAACAAGAAAGUGCUUGCUGUAAUAGAUCUCCGUUGUUUCUUGUACCACACUACCACUGCUACAAGUUAAGCGUGGCUUAUCUUUUCCUUAUCCAGAUUCUUGAAGCUCCUAAGGAAGAAGAGGUUUCCCUUCUUCUAGAAAUUUUCGGGUGAGCUUAUUGUCCAAAAGAUGUGCCUAUGAUUUUGCUAUUUUUUCAAUAAUCCAAUCAGUUUUCAUCUCAGUUUUCAAUAUUUGUUUUCUUCAUGAGCAUCCUCUCCAUUUUAAAUGACAGUCAUUUGCUACAGAAUAUGUCUUACAGGGGGGAAAGAAGUUAAUAAUGCCAUAGUGAGCAGUAUACAGGACUUGGCAAAGUCAUUCUCAAAUUACCAUGAUGAAGUCCUGGUAUGUCUGCCAGUUGUCUGAUAAACUUAUAUAUAAGGCUAAAUUAUCAUGUAAUGCUUGGUGCAAAGCGUUCUAAUUAUUCAGCAGUUUUUAUGUACUUGGCAAUCCACAAGAAUGUAAUUGCAGUUCAUGUAUACUUCUAGUCUUCUUUCCACUUGAUUUGGGCUACAUUCCUGGAGAAAGAACGGUGUAUUUAUUUUGCAUAUAUUGACUUUUCUUGUCAAACAAUAUUCUUAUAUCUGUAUACAUGUAGGUGAAACGUGAAGAGCUACUUCAGUUUACGCAAAGUGCCAUUUCAGGUCUAAAGAGGAAUGCUGACAUUGUGAGGUGACUACUAUUCUACACUUCUACUGAUUUGCUCAUGAAGUUCUGCGUGUGUUCUCAAGGAUCGGCCAGCCCGAUAUGAUGAAAGCAAGGUUUGCACACGCGAAUAGUAGAUUGAUUAUGAGAGUACAGGGUGCUAAAAUUAACACCAAUCAACACAAUGUACGUGGGGCACGUGCACGUCCUGGGCCCAUUUGACUGUCUAACAGUAAACAUAAAACAUCAUCUAUAUUUCAUGUGUGAUAUGAUAUUAGAUUUAAUUGUUCCCUUCAGAGUGCCAAUAAGGAUUUUAAUCAAUCAGGGACCCAUGCAAUUUUCUAACAUAAAUAUGAAAUAUCCUCAGUCAUCAUUGCACUGUGACUUAUAGUUUUAGCCUGUAACAUAUGGAAAGCCUGAAAGAUUAAUUAGUACUCUUGCCUUUGUUUUUGGGCUAUUAUUAUUUCUUGUUACUCUAAUAUGCAUAUUUCAUUUCAGGAUAGAUGCUGAAGCUGUAGAAUUGUGGAAGAAACUAGAUGAGAAGGAGGAAUCACGAGUUCAAUCAAUUGGUGAUCCUGAUAAAGUUACAGAAACGACUUCAACUGUUGAGGUGUGUACUCUUUGAUAUAUGUUAUAAUUAAACUACUUUGUUUUACUUUUUUUCUGCAGUAUAAUUUGUCAAUGUUUGGUUAGAUGUUCACAAAGGCAUUUGGGAUCUAUCUAUAAGCAGGCACAGUGUCAUUAUCAAGUUUUUAAAUCUCCUGCUAGGCAGCUCAAGUUAUGUACAAUUUAGUUUGGCUCUGCUAUUAGCUAUUUGAGAGGCCGUCCGCUAAAUGCCUUAGCCGGAGCUUUGAAACAUUGGUCAUUAACUCAUUAUGCAGACAUACACUUGGCUUUAGGCUUUUAAUUAUUUCAUUUAAAUUUCUUAUGAUCCCAGGCUCAUUAAGCAAUUUUAGUCAGGCAAUUUCAAUAGCAAAUGGCUUCUUCCUUGAACUAGUGUUGUACGUUCAAUGCCAACCAGUUUGUUUUGAUCUGUUGCAUCCUUUUAUUAGUAACUUUGUUCUCCCUCCAUAAUGCUUUUAAUUUCAAACAAGCUAACUCUGUUUUUCACCUUGUUCAGUCUUUCAAAGAAGCACUCACCGAAGUUCGAUUCUGCUCUAGAAUGGAGGAACUUCUAUUGAAGAAAAAAUCAAUUAAUACUGGGGACUCCUUAGAGAUCCACUCCCAAAAGGCAUGUUUAUUUGUGAUUUUAUGAGAAUUUCAUUUUUCAGUUAGAUACACCUUUAUAUUCUGCUUAUAUUCAGUCUCACUCAUAAAUUGACCAAACACACGGUUGCUGGACACUUGAACAAAAACAAAGGGUAGUGAUAGUUUAGUAAUCUCUUUGGUGCUAACUAUUGCGACCAUGCAUACUUUACUGUUCUUUGUUUUGUUCUUGGAUCUUCAUUUUCUGAACUUAAUCCUUUGAAGAAAGUGAAUUUAUGAGCAAUGGGACUCUGAGCUCCACAAACUUUUCUCUUUUACAUUUACUUCCCAUUGAAUAGUCUAUAUCAUCUGCGGUAUGGCCUAUGUUUGUUGUGGCACGAUAACCAUGCAUGUGUAUUUCCUUCUAAAUUAUUGCAUGGGCCAGGUGAGCAAUCACCAAUGUUGUACUGUAAUUGUGUAAACGUUUCAUCUUACCUGUUGCAUUAUUUGGAUUUGCAAAUAAUAACUUGAUAUUCAUUCUGGAUGAACUCUGCUUAUAUAUAUGUGGACAUUUGAUGAAAUACUGUUUGCUAUAUAUACUAACAUAAUGGGCCAAAAUGUUGCAGGUUGAGAAAUUAAAGGUAUUGGCGACUUCCCUUGCUAAUUCAUCCUCCAAGGCAGAGAAGCGUAUUUUGGAUCACAGGUUUAGCUUAACUUUUCUGUAGCCAUAUUUUAAAAUCAUUUGUUGAUUCUUAUUAGAAUAUUGAAUAUUUUACAAAUUAAAGACUCUGCUUUCCCUUUUAGUUUAUGUUUCUGGCGGAUGGAACUUCUAACAUGUAUGAUCCUAGUACAUAUGGAUUUAUUUUAGGAGAUAAUCAUUUGAAAAAGGAACACCCAUAUUAACAACGUCUGUCUAUGCACACAUCAAACUUCAACUAUAUUUGUUGUGACAGUACAAUCUGCAUUCUGUGUACUUGCCAAUUCAAUUUACAUUGCCUCAAAGUAUAAUGCCAGAGUUGCUGUGCUUUUGUUUAGAUAUUAGUUAAGCUCUUUUUUCACUAUAUCAGCAGGAUUAUCAUACUUAAGUCCUGGUUUAUGUGAAAUCUGUUCACUAGUGAGUACACCAUGAAUACAAGUCAUGUUGUUCACUCGCCACUAUUGUGGAUUUAUGAUUUUUUCUGAAUUUUGUUUGGUGCAUUUUGGAACAAAGAAAUUAAUGUAGAAAACUAUCCGUUGACCUUUCCAUUUUUGCUAUUUCAGACGCCAGAAAGAAGAGGCUCUUAAUUUUCGUGCUAAAAAGGAGAAUGAAGUGAUUGCUGUUGAGAAGGUAAGAAUCCAAGCUCGUAUGUAGAAUCCGUUCGUAGCUCUGAUCUACUAUAAAAGGCCACACGUCACAUAACGUAGAACUCUGAUUGCAUUUCCCUUCUAGCAUAUAAUUAUAACUAUGCACCGUUAUUAGCUUUUUUUUUCAAUUUAUUUCAUUGCAUCUGAUGGCUGCAUGAAAAGCCAUUCUGCAUGCACAAUUCACGUGUAUAUCUAUAUCUGUGGUACUUUAUAAAAUGGAUGCACAUAUAUGUUUUGAUUUGUUGUAAUCUCUUGGUGUCACAAACAAAUCAUGUUUUCUGAUGUGUCUCGUGUAGGAUUUGACUACUGAAAUUUCUGCAUUGGAGAAGCAAAGGGAUGAACUUGAGGCUCAGUUGAAGAAGGUACCUUGUCCUGAGACCUCUGUGGAAGAUUUUAUUUUCUUCUUGUUUUCUCCUGUCAACUAUUUUGCGAAAGUCAAACAUGUUUUCUGGUCUUGAUUUGUUUUCAAUAUUUCAUGAUGAACAGGUCAAUAUUUCACUGAAUGCUGCUGUUGGUCGACUCAAGCAGACGAGGGAAGAGAGGGACCAAUUUCAUGAAGCAAACAACCAGAUGAUCUUUAGUUUACACGCGAAGGUGGGUACACUUUGCUGAUUUUUCAGUUUUUUUUUGACUGAAUAUCCUGUUUCAGUUUUGAUCCUGCUGUAUUUGAUGGGAUCGAAGUUUAUUAUCUGUUUUAAAUAUAUUGACUAGCUUGAUAUUUUGUUUUCUUCAUCAACUCAGGAGAAUGACCUUUCAAAAUCUAUUGACUCAUGUAACAUGGAGGCCAGUGUAGUCAAGACUUGGGUAAAUUUCCUUGAGGAUACAUGGCAACUUCAGUCAUCAUACAAUGAACAGAAAGAAAAUAAAACGAAGUAUGUAAUUACUACAAGUUUCAACCCUUUUGUCCUAUUAUUACGCUUCUCACCCUGUUGUGAAGUUACGAUCAGAAAUUGCAUGAUUCAUUGCUGUUGUGCUGAAUAUUGUGACAAAAUAAUAUGUUGCCUGAUUCAGCUUUACUUUUUGUUUAGUGACGAGCUGGAAAGAUGCACAAGCAAUUUUCUGAAGCUGACCAAGCGUCAUCUUUCUUAUUUCAAGGUUAUUGGUUGAAUAUAUGCUGUUCAAGCAUUGUACUAUUAGAGUAUAUAUUUGAUUCCGUUUCUCUUAUGCAUCCUUUUUCUUGGGCAGGAAGUUCUUAGCCCAUCAAUUGAACGGAUCCGCACAUACGUGGAUAAUUUGGCACUCUUAAAUUCUAGGUUGUUUACUUAUUCUUUGUAAUGUCUUACAUGUGCUCUUCCUUUUUGUAUAACAAAAAUAGAACUAAUGGUUUUGCAAUAUGUGUUUUGAACCAAAUUUUAUAGGGAGGAGUCAAUUGAACAUGGAGGGGAUGAUGAGGUUUCUGAGAAGACAAGUCCACAAAAAUCCCUUGAGGAGGAAUAUUUGGAAACUGAAAAGAAGGUUCCUUUUUAGUACCUAGCUUUUAAUUACACCUGAACUCUUAACCAGAUGUUGUUAUGGUCAUAAACCUGCUCAAUAGCUGUCUUUGUAUUAUAAUUCAUGCUAUGAACAUAUAUGGUUUUUUAGCCUAUUCAGCUUUUUAUAGAGAUUACAGAUUGGAUAGCUGGUUGACAAUGUUCCCACAUUUUCAGAUCGUAAUUGCCUUCAGCAUUGUAGAUCGCAUGAAGAAGAUGUUUUAUUCUGAGCAAGGGGCUAAUUCUAGGUACUCCUGACUCCUCAUCUUUAAUUACUCAGUCUCUUUUUCGUGCUUGUGAUCCCUGCAGUUGGACAAACCACCUUUCCCUCUCAAUUUUCAGGCAAGAUGAUGCAGAGGUCAGGACCUUAUUUUCAGAUAUUGAUAAACUGAGGGAAGUAUUUGAGUCGGUAGAGAGGCCGACACUAGACAUUGAAGUCCGCAAGGCAAAGGAACCAAUGAAGGAAAAGUCUGGAUCGAGUCGUUCAACCAAAGACAAAUCUGAAUCGAGUCAUUCACCUGUUCAGGCACCCUCUUCACCCAAAGAUGUGCCUGUGGACUCUCCGAAGUCUCCAGCGAAAUCUGAGCUGAUGCUGGACACAGAUUCAGAGCUUGCAAAGUUAGAAUUAGAAUUUGGAAAAGUUAAUAAAGACCAUGAGGAGAUAAGCGGUUGGGACUUUGACGAACUUGAAGAGGAGCUGCGAGCUGACAUAUCUAAAUCAGACAAUCCAAAAUAACCACGCUCGUCCGACAUUUGUGAACGCAUGGCACCCAACUUUACAUGUGCUGGCUUUUCUGAAAAUUUGUACAGACUUUGAAUUGUUGAAUGUACAUAGUGUUGUUUCAUCGUGUCCAUGGACGUUCUAUAGAUUAUACUCACUGCAUGGGAGAUGGAGAUUAUUACACUGUACACUGACAGGGCAUUAGCUUAUUUGUUUGUUCUUGUCAUGUACAUUCAUACAUGAAUGAAUGAAUGAAUGCAUGAAUGGUGAACAUUAUGUAGCAUUUCCACAUUUUGGACUUUGAAACUUGUAUAUUAACUAAAGAUAAAAUUCUCUUGGGGUCUCUGACAGGUUUUAAUUAAGCAGAAGUGUCCAAAAAAUUACUAUGUGUGUUUAAGAGAAGCAAAAUCUGAGCCGAUGGCAGCUUAUACGUUAUUAAUAAAGUAGGAUUUGAUGGCAAAGAUGUCUGGACUGAACCGACUGUAGCUUAAGAUAUUUUAACUUACGUGUCAAGUUUUUUGGGCGUAGUUUAGCAUUUAUGUUUACAUUGAAUGUAACAAAGGUAGAAUUAGAUGACUGGAGAUGUAUACCGAAGUAAUAAAAUAUGGUUCAAAUAUGUUACAAAAUGUAACUUCUCACCCAUAUAAAAAAGAGAGAAAAAAAAAAUCUUGACCACGUUCAUGACUGCUCCAUCUCUUUCUCCAAGCAGAGCUUGCUCUCUCACCAUUGUGGUCUCUGUCCAAUCAAGAGAUCGCCGGUGUGAUCUCUCUCUCUCUCUCUCUCUCUCUCUCUCUCUCUCUCUCUCUCUCUCUCUCUCUCUCUCUCUCUCUCUCUCUCUCUCUCUAAAUUACAAAAUUACAGAGAGUGCUCUGUUUAAUGGCGACCUUAAGAUUGUGAAAUGCAGUUUCAUACUUAUUUGGUGUGAUAGAUGAUAAUGUAAUGUGAUGAGCCAUAGAAUAGUUUGAUUUAAUAUAAACUUAAAUCACUUAUAAUUUAGUCAUUUAGGACGACGGUGUAGAUUAUAUAGGUAUCAAUAAGGUCUGAAAGCACGUAUUCGUAACCUAGUCUCUACUCAUUCUAGAGUGUUUAAACAUAGAAUUGUUUGAUUUAGCAUAAACUUAGACGGUUUAUAUUUUAGAACACAACGAGUGUAUGAUAUACACGUCUUCGUAACAAGUAGUACUACUAGCUAGUAAUACAUCAAGUUUCGCAUGCAACUCAUUGCUGCAUUACACAACACAUCAACCUCAGUUGUACGCACUUGUCGUACGUGUACAUGUACACACGUACGCUCAUAGUACAUUACACGAGGAAGACGGUGAACUGUAGCACGGUCUCGAUGCCGUCGGUCUCGAGCAGCGCGCCGGACGCCACCACCCCUCCGGGCCUCACCACGGCCACCUUGGCGAACCCCUUUGCGCCGACGUACUUCCCGGUGCCGCCGACGAUGGCGAGGUGCGACUCCGAAUCGACGGUGCGGUGCACGCCGAAGAAGCUGAUGGUGUCCUCGAACCCACCCUCCUUGAACAUGGCGGUCACCGCCACCGUCUGGCUGACGCCCUCCUCCGAGCUGGCGAUGUAGAACCCCUGCGCGCGUCCCACCGCGGCGGACCCCAGCUCCGGCGCCUCCGUCAGCUCGUCGUCCACCACCGUCAUGGUCCCGAAGAGGAGCUUCUGCAGCGUGGUGCCCUGCGGGAGGCUGCCGCCGGCGAAGACCGGGACGCCGCUGUUGCCGUUGCCGUUGCCGUUGCUGUUGCUGCUGAUGGACUUGGCGGCGUUGGUGGCGCCGCCGAGGCCCGUGAGGAACGGGAUGUUGUUGUUGUCGAUGGCGCCCGCCGCGCCGGAGUUGACGUUCACGCCGCUGUUGAGCGGCAGCACCGCGCCGUUGGGACGCGCGAAGGGGAGCUGCCCGGUCACCGCGGCGUUGUCCACGAUGCCGGCCACGAUGCGCGCCGACGGGUUCGUGCCCCCGAGGAUGUCGUGCAUGAAGAACACCAUCCCGUGGCCGUCCGCGCCGCCGGCUGCACCCGCCCCCAUAGGGAUGUUGCUGCCAGCGACCGGAGCUGCCGCAGGAGCGCCACCAGACACCGCCGCCGCAGCAGCAGCGGGGAUGGCAUUGGCAGCGACCGGUGCGCCAUCUGCCGCGGCGCCUCCGGAGGCCGCCACACCGGCCCCUCCUGCCGCAGCCGGGAUGGCAUUGGCGGCAGCGAUCGGUGCGUCAGCAGCCGCAGGCGCCACGGCGGGUGCGAUAGCUGGCGCCGCCGCAGCACCAGUGCCGUCGUCGUCAUCGUCGGAAGUCAGCUGGCGCGUCGGUCUCGCCGCGGUGGCGCUAGGCACGACGACGAGGAAGAGGAGCAGGAGGAGGAGAAGGGACGAGAGUCCGAUGGCUGCUUUCUUGAACGCCAUUGGAGCAGAGCAGAGCUCUCUGUUUCUAGCUAGCUCGUCCCGCUGGUGACACUGCAAGUGUUUGUGCUCUGAUCAACUGAGCUGCGACUGUGAUGGCUUGAGCUACCCACGCGAGAUCUCUCUAUAUAUAUAACGAGCAUAUGGACAUGUUGAUGGCUUGAUCGUAGAGUGGUUAGCGGUGUCGUCUCGUGGAGUUGCUCACUUGCUCAUUGGGACGAACCAAAUGGUUUAGUUGCACGCCACGUGUGGUGCUCUGCAAGUCUGCAAGCUUCGUUUCAGCGGUGAACACGGGCAACCUGCUCCAUCCAUGUCCAUGUUGCCCGCUCAGAAACAAAACGGAGGCCCAGCAAGAUCGAUUCCGUGCGCGCAGCGGCCCAGGCUGCAGGCCCAGCCCGCCGCCGCCGCCGUAUUAGCAUAGCGGCAGCUGAACGCACUGAUGCAGAGACGCACGUCGGUCCACCUGACGUCCUGACCGAUGCAGGCUCUAGAAGACGCAUAUGGACCGCCAGGCCUUGUUUAUAGUUGGAAACCAAAAAGAUUUUAAAAUUUUUGGUUACACAAAUUUUACAGUAUAUAUAUAUAUAACAUUAAAUAUAUAUAUAUAUAUAACUAAUUAUAUAAUUUAUCUGUAGUCUAAGAGAUAAUUUUUAAAUUUAAUUAAAUUAUAAUUAAAAGAUAAUUAUCAAAUAUAAACAAAAAUAUUAUAGUUCUAAAAACUUUUCAACUAGUAACUAAACAUGGCCCAAGUCGCAGCACCUUCCUUUUUGCUGGGGUUGGGCACACACAGUGCGUCGCGUGAAAAAGGCUUUUGAAUUCCACGGGCGAAUCGAAGAAAGGCGGCGGCAAACCACGCCACGGUAAAAGGACGCAAAGCAAUAGCGCACCAUUGACCACGCCGCUGUGGCGCUGUCGUCGGCGGCUGGACAAACGCGGCACCAUUAACCACCAGCGCCGUCGCCAUCGUCGGCAUCGAGACGGCGAGUUUCCUCGUCAGCCGCCGGCCGGCCGGCCGGCUGCCCCACUUCAUUUGUGGUGCUGCUGACCACGUCCAAAGGUUAAAACUCCAGCAGCGGCUGCGCCCUUCCUCGCUUAGCGCAGGUGUAGCUCACCGACCACCAUGUCUGUCGCUCUGCCCACCACCCUCGUCGUCCUCGGCCUCCUCAGCGCGUGCCGCUCCGCCGCGACGACGGACACCCUCUCGCCCGGCCAGGUGCUCGCCGGGGACGCCACGCUGGUGUCCAACAACACCAAGUUCACGCUCGGCUUCUUCAAGGCUCCCGACGGCGCCGCCGCCGGCUCGCCCGACAGGUGGUACCUCGGCAUAUGGUUCACCGCGGUCCCCGACCGGACCACGGUCUGGGUGGCCAACGGCGCGAAUCCAGUCAUCGACGCCGACGCCGGGUCGCCGGAGCUCACGGUCUCCGGCGAAGGCGACCUUGCCGUCGUGAACCAAGCCACCAAGUCGGUGACUUGGUCCGCCCACAACAACACCACCGCCGCCGCCAACACGAGCACCACCACCGCCAUCGCCGUGCUCCUCGACAGCGGCAAUCUCGUCCUCCUCGACGUCUCCAACUCCUCCGCGGCGGCGCCCCGGCGCACGCUGUGGCAGAGCUUCGACCACCCGACCGACACGCUGCUGCCGAGCGCCAAGCUCGGGCUCAGCAAGGCCACGGGCGUGACCACCCGCCUCGUCUCCAGGAGGAGCUCGGCCACGCCGUCCCCGGGGCGGUACUGCUUCGAGGUCGACCCCGGCGCACCCCAGCUCGUGCUCAAGCUCUGCGGCGACUCGUCGUCCUCCGUGUCCGUCGCCUACUGGGCCACCGGCGCGUGGAACGGCAGGUACUUCAGCAACAUCCCGGAGCUGGCCGGCGACGUGCCCAACUUCAGCCUCGCGUUCGUCGACGACGCGACGGAAGAGUACCUCCAGUACAACGUGACCACGGAGGCGACGGUGACGCGCAACUUCGUCGACGUCACCGGCCAGAACAAGCACCAGCUGUGGCUCGGCGCGUCCAAGGGCUGGCUCACGCUCUACGCGGGGCCCAAGGCGCCGUGCGACGUGUACGCCGCCUGCGGACCAUUCACGGUGUGCAGCUACACGGCGGUGGAGCUCUGCAGCUGCAUGAAGGGCUUCUCGGUGAGCUCGCCGGUGGACUGGGAGCAGGGUGACCGGACAGGAGGAUGCGUAAGAGAUGCACCAGUGAAUUGUAGUGCUGGUAGCAGCAAUGGCAGUCGUGCACCGUCUUCAACUGAUGGGUUCUUCUCCAUGCCCGGCAUUAGGUUGCCUGACAACGGGCGUACCUUGCAGAACGUGAGGAGUUCAUCUGAAUGCUCCACGGCGUGUCUGAACAACUGCUCGUGCACUGCGUAUUCCUAUGGUGGCAACCAGGGGUGCCAGGUUUGGCAGGAUGGGCUGCUCGAGGCGAAACAGCCGCAGAGCAAUGGCGGCGGCGACUCUGUUUCUGACGUAGGAACUCUCUAUCUCCGUCUCUCUGCAAGAGAAUUUCAGACAUCCGGAGGAGGAGGUACGAAUCGAGGAGUGAUCAUCGGCGCCGUCACCGGUGCGUGCACUGCUGCCUUGAUUUUGCUGGUGCUGGCAAUAGCAUUGAUCAUCCGGAGGAGGAAGAACACCAAGCAGAACGAUCGAGGAGGUGUCGCCGCCGGUGGUGGGCUCACGGCCUUUUCAUACAGAGAGCUGCGUUCCGCGACUAAGAAUUUCUCUGAGAAGCUCGGGCAAGGCGGCUUCGGCUCCGUCUUCAAGGGGCAGCUGCGGGACUCCACCGCCGUCGCGGUGAAGAGGCUGGACGGGAGCUUCCAGGGGGAGAAGCAGUUCAGAGCCGAAGUGAGCUCCAUCGGCGUCAUCCAGCACGUCAACCUGGUGAGGCUGGUCGGCUUCUGCUGCGAGGGCGAGAGCCGGUUCCUCGUCUACGAGCACAUGCCGAACCGGUCCCUCGACAUCCACCUAUUCCAGAGGAGCGGCGGCGGCGGCGGCGGCGGUGUGUUCCUGGACUGGAGUACCCGGUACCAGAUCGCCGUCGGCGUCGCCAGGGGUUUGUCCUACCUCCACGACGGCUGCCGGGACCGGAUCAUCCACUGCGACGUGAAGCCGGAGAACAUCCUGCUGGGCGCGUCGAUGCUCCCCAAGAUCGCCGACUUCGGGAUGGCCAAGUUCGUCGGGAGGGACUUCAGCCGGGUGCUCACCACGAUCAGGGGCACCAAGGGCUACCUCGCGCCGGAGUGGAUCAGCGGCACGGCCGUCACGCCCAAGGUCGACGUGUACAGCUACGGCAUGGUGCUGCUGGAGAUCGUGUCGGGGAGGAGGAACAGCGCCGCCGGCGAGGAGGACUACCGCACGGCCGGCGGCUCUGAGAACGGCGGCGACGACGCCGGGGAGGAGGAGGAGGAGGAGGUCGCGUUCUUCCCCAUGAAAGCUGCGAGGGAGCUCGUCAAGGGGCCGGGCGUAGUCAGCGUCGGCAAUCUGCUGGAUGACAAGCUCUGCGGCGAUGCGGAUCUCGUGGAGGUGGAGAGGGCCUGCAAGGUGGCGUGCUGGUGCAUCCAGGACGACGAGGCUGACCGGCCGACCAUGGCGGAAGUGGUUCAGGUGCUGGAGGGCGUCUUGGACUGCGACAUGCCACCACUGCCGAGGUUGCUUGCGACCAUCUUUGGGAGGCCACACUCGUCUACAGAACAACAGACAACUUCGGUUUCAGACACGUCAACGUUAGCACCAUUUACUAGUGGUAGUGGAUCACUUAAUUAGUUUAACAGUAUAUUAGUAUAUGCUUCUGCUUUUUCUCCAAAUAACUGUUGUACGGUUGGCCUCAGUAAAAUUACUGUGCACGAAAUUGAAGUUCCACGGCUGUUGUACUAUUUUUGUUUGUAUUUGACAAUUAUUUGUUCAAUCAUAGACUAACUAGACUUAAAAAAUUUGUCUCUCAAAUUAUAUGCAAACUAUACAAUUAGUUAUUUUUUUAUCUAUAUUUAAUACUCCAUGCAUGUACCGCAAAUUCGAUGUGACAGAAAAAUCUUGAAAACUUUGAAAAAAAAAUCAGGAACUAAACCGCCCCAUAGUCUAGGAUAAGGAUGGCAACGGGUCGGGUUUGGAUCGGGUGGAGUCUCCGUGCACCCAAAACCGAAACUCGAAGUCGAAACCCAAAACCAAAACCGGAACCAAAUCGGGUGGAAAUUUAGUACCAAAACCUAACCCGCGGAUACCCAAAACCCGAACGGAUACCCGAAACCCGAAUGGUUAUCCGAAACCCGCGGAUAUAUAGACACAUAUUCACAUAUAUAAACAAGAUGCAACAAAUAAUAAAUAUUUUCAUGAGUUAACUUUGAAUAAAUUUAAUAAUCUAAGUAAAUAAAUUAUUAUUAUCAUAUUAUAAAAUAUAAAUUUUAAUUCCAAUGAUUUACUUCGGAUAUCCAUUGGAUAUCCAUGGAUGGAAAACCAAACCCGAUCGGUUUCGGGGCCCCGAACCCGAAAACCGUGGACAAAAAACUACCACCAAAACCAAAACCGCUGGACCCAAAACCCGCGGAUAUCCGAACCAAAACCGAUCCGCUGCCAUCCUUAGUCUAGGAAACUACCAUUUCAUUUUAUAUCUUGAAUGAACUUCAAAAACAGAAGAGAACUUUUUGGCUAAAAAAAUAAGUUUUGUCGAUUAGAAAAUUAUAGAUACCCCCUGGGCAUGGUUUAUGGUUCCAUUUUUCAAUUUUUCGUUCCACAAAUAAUCUAAAUUUUGGAAGUUUGGUUCCAAAAGGUUUAACAAAUUCUUUACAUAGCACUUUAUUUAUUUAUUUUUUAUAUUCUUGUCAAGGGUGGAUACUAUUUUUUCAAAGGACAAAUACUAGGCAAAAUCAGGGUCUAAAACAUAAUUCAAAUUUAUGAUCAAGGCCUUGUUUACUUCCUAGAAAAUUUUGCAAAAUUUUUCACAUUUCCCGUCACAUCGAAUCUUUAGACGCAUGCAUGAAGUAUUAAAUAUAAACAAAAAUAAAAACUAAUUGCACAGUUUGGUCGAAAUUGACAAGACGAACCUUUUGAGCCUAGUUAGUCCAUGAUUGGACAAUAUUUGUCAAAUACAAACGAAAAUGCUACAGUGUCCAUUUCCCAAAAUUUUUCGGAACAAGGCCCAAAGGUGCCCGCUGCGUUGUUACUGUACUGGAUAGAAGAAAAGAAAAGAUAUAAUGUGUCAUUCUCUCUAAAAAAACAAAGACAAUCAAGGGAGUUAAUUCUAGGUUUUAUUCUACAAAAAAAAAGAAUUCUAGGUUUUAUUGAGAUGGGAAGUAGUAACUGGACGAGGCAGGUCGCGCCCCACUAUAUAGUUAUAAUCAUAUGGCGAAAUCCGAAUCCAUCAAGCGCGAUAUGCAUUAAUAGUAACAGUCACAUUCUUAGUAGUAGAAAGAACAGACACAUCACAAUAUCACACACUGCAGCCUUUGCAAUAAACAAGAACCAGAAGCGACAAUCACACUGCGUUGCAUUGCAUCAAGACCCAACAUAUCCAGAACAUUACCAUUCCUACACGACAGCACACUGCAAGGAACGAGUGGUCCGGCCCAUCUACUACAAGUAGUUCUUAGCACUGCAGAACCAGAAAGGCCAAGGAAGAGCAACAGAGAGCGGAAGCUCAGGCCCUCUCGCCCCUGAUGCGGCGGGCGAGCUGGAUGUCCUUGGGCAUGAUGGUGACGCGCUUGGCGUGGAUGGCGCAGAGAUUGGUGUCCUCGAAGAGCCCCACGAGGUAGGCCUCGGCGGCCUCCUGCAGCGCCGCCACGGCGGAGGACUGGAACCGGAGGUCCGUCUUGAAGUCCUGCGCGAUCUCCCGCACCAGCCGCUGGAACGGCAGCUUCCGGAUCAGCAGCUCCGUGCUCUUCUGGUACUUGCGGAUCUCACGCAGCGCCACCGUGCCCGGCCGGAACCGGUGCGGCUUCUUCACGCCGCCGGUGGCUGGGGCCGACUUCCGCGCCGCCUUCGUCGCCAGCUGCUUCCGCGGCGCCUUGCCGCCCGUCGACUUGCGCGCCGUCUGCUUCGUGCGGGCCAUCGUUGCCGGGCGCGGGGAGAUCGGAGGUGGAUUUGGGCGGGGGAUGGGAGAUUGCAAGCUGCGACGGCGAUGCGGUCUGCCUUGGGAGGAGGAUUUGCAUUUAUACUGGUGGCGGAGGGUGUUCUUGGGCGGGCAUGGAGGGACGGCGAAAAAUUUCGGGAGGCGCUGGCGCGGGCGGGCGGAGAAGUUUGGGCCGUUGGAUCGGGAUGGACGGUGAGGGUAGCGCUGCUGGCGGGGGACGAUCCGCGUGCUCGGUGAUCUGCGAUGUGAUUGGCUGGGAGGGCUUCGAUGAGGAUCGCUGGCCCCAUCUAGUGGUUUCGGCCACGGUUAGGGCCCAAUUCCCACCAGUCGGUUCCACGAAUGUUAACGGGCUGUGUCACACAGCCCAUCGUGGAGAGUGAUUCGGACCUCAGAAACUUUCAGGCCCAAAUGAAUGGUAGCCCGCUUAGGAACGUCAUUCUCUUCUUUGAAGCCCAGCACUUAGGCGGAUACAUACAGGGGCACACAGGCGCGUGAUGUAAUACUGCUGGACAUUUUGCUCAAUAAAAAAUUUAAAAAAAAAACUGAACCUGGACAUCCACUCAAAAAAAAAAACUGAACCUGGACAGAGCUUUCUUUUGUAUUCUUUGACCACAAAUAUGUCGCGCCCACGGUUAACUGAAUGUCUGAAUCAUGUAAACCAUGGCAAAGAGUUUGUAGCUCGAAAUCCAAAUGCAGCUUUCCAGCAGGCAGAUUAUUGUUUAGUUGGCCAUCAUAGAGAAGUUCUAUGACCAUAUUGGCAUACUGAUACAUGUGCCGUGAACGAGAGACACAACCACCGCGACGAAAACACACUGUUAUCCUUUUCACUUGGAAAGGGAAUAUACAAGAAGCAGUAAAGAAGAAUAGCGAGCUCCGAAGUCCAUUUCUAGUACUUCUUGGAGCUUUGAACUCUGUUGAUUAGAUGGGUGCAAAUAGCCAUAAAUUUUGGACGAAAAAAUCUCAUCGUAUCAACUUAUUGCAGUGAUUUGAUCAUGAGUCAUGACACGGAUUUACAGCCCUUGCUUUGUACUUGUGCAAGUGGACAGUGGAGUGUGCUCUGGAGGUCAACCUCCCUACAACCACAAUUUAGCAGAAACCUUUACACCUCCUACACAACCUUGUUCCUUGUAUAGUUGUGUGAACUAAGCUAAUACAUUUGCAGAGAAACCAAGAGGAGAAAUGGAGCAGCAGGAGCCAUCAGCAAUUGUCAUGAUUUGGGCUUUCUGAUGGCACCAAUGAUGGAUCGGAAGGCCUCAGCUGUGCAGGGGAUAUGGAGGAUCCCCUGCUGCUCAUACCCGAAUUCCUGCACCGCCAGAUCAAGAAGCUCGAUGAAGUAUGGCUGCUUGAACUGCUCCAUAUGCACGAGGAUCCUCUCCCUCUCCUCCCCCUGUCCUAUCAGAACUGGUAUGAACCCUCUUGGCACCUUAUUAUCCUUCCUAGCCAUAAUACCCUCCUUUCUCUUCUCAUUGUUGGCAUAGAAUCGACCUUCCUGUCCCUGCAUUAUAUACAACUUUGCCCUCUAACUGCAUGACGUAAAGCCAUUCAUGAUUUGCUUAAAUAUAUGAGAAAGGCCGUCGCACUCUGUGUCUGAUAGAAUUUCUGGCCUGCACAUUUGUUUAAACCCAGGCAGCAUUUUUUUUGAACAAACAGGAACACAGGCAUUAUUGCAGACAAAACCCCAGGUACAGUUUUAUUCUACAUGACUCCUGUGUUCUAUGCCAAUAACUUACAGACCUUUGCCGUGUUUUUUGUCGCUAGGUGCUAACGGCCCGGGCGUUGUGUGGUAUGCAAGUGCGUCAUGUCCUUCGACUGAACUUAUAUCUUUUUUCUUAGGAGGUGUUUAGUUUCUUAUAGAAUACAAAAUAACAACUACUUUGGAGUGAUGAAAUACAAAAUGCCAAAAUUUUUAGGAUCAUGUUCAGUCUCAUUCAAAAUGCAGAAUUUAUUGUCCUCAUGAGAGCUUUUUGAGGCUCUUUUUAGUUUUUUUUACCUCUUGAGGUCAAAAUUCAAAAUAGAGAAUAACUAUCUUUUUGCCAAAAAAAUUACAUGGUGUUUAGUUUUAUUAUGUAAAAUGAUGGACCAAAACCUAAUUUUUUUUGAAAAAAAAGGGAAACUAAACACUCCCUUAAUUGAGUAGCAAAGCUAGGAGAUUCUUCCGUUUGCUUUAUAUAUUGACUUCGUCUUAAUUGUUGUGCCACCUGUCUUGUUCGAUGAUAUCACAAAUACUUUUGGUGCUGCAUUAUGAAGGUUAUUAUAUGCUGCUGAAUUGAAUAGGUCAACUAGUGUUUAAGGAGCUGCUUGAUGAAUGGCGAGUAAACGAGGGCCUGGAUGUGAUUCUACUUAUGAAUGCAUACAAACAGAUGUGGUUGGGAUAUAAUAUCUGGUGCUCCUUUUAUAUAUUUUUUAGAGAAAAUAUGCUCCUUUUGUAAUUUGAAGACUCAUUUGUUUUCCCUCAUCAUUGAGCAUUUCAUGGCAAGUAAGAACUUUAAUAAAGUUAUCUUUUGUUCAUGACGAGUCAGCAUGAUGAUAUUGAUAUCUUGCGUGAAUUAUUGCAGACGCUUUCUCUAAUUUAUGUCGUUGUAAUGCCUUAUUAGUUGUCUCUAAGUCAACUCUGUAGUAACCUCUACUAUAAGCUUGGUUGUAUAUGAUGCAGUAGGCGCUACUGCAAUUUGUCCUUCUGUAGCUAUAACCCAAAAUUAUGUGUACCUAAAUACUUAUAGGAAUAACUGUUAGAGAAAGGUACAGUACCUCUGAUCAAAAGUUGGGGGGAUUGUAUCAAGAUAGCAGUCUAAACUUACCUGUGAGUGUGACCACUAACCAACUGACAACGCUCUAUAGUAGAGUUCAUUGACCUAUCCUGUUAUCCAUUUGCCUAGCCUGUUGUAUACUGUUGUUCAAGACCGUAACGUAUGCUAUGCCGCUCACCCGAAACCCGCGUGCACGGCACAUGCUCUGGACUUCGAUAUUCUCGUCAUAUGAACUUGAAGACUUGCUCUAUAAGCUCUUUCACGGCUUAAAUGCAUUGGAUUUCGUUAAUUUUAAGCACAACCAUGUGCAGUAGAAUUUAAAAAUCCUACAGAGACGACAAUUUUCAGAACUUCAGAUCCACUUCAUUUCGUAAAUUGAAGACCUGUGACACUUUUCUGCAAAACUUGCGUCCAUUGUCAAAGAGUUGCCGUACUUGCAUGGUUUGUCACUGUUUUAAGAUCUAAGAUGAUAUGAACUGUGUAAUUUUAGCUUCUGUGUAUGCUUUUAGCUUGUAAUCUUGUUAAUUUAUGGCUUAAUUUGUUAUUGUCAUAUGAGAUAGCUCGAGUUAUAUAUAUCCGUUCUCAUGAAUUCUGAUCGUUAUCGAUGUAUUUUUUCGAUCGACUACUAUUGUUUUUUAAAUUAUCUAAAUAUUGAUGCUAUAUUCAUUUAUGACAAUAUCAAUUUCAUUUUUUGGAAAAAAAAUAUAUGAAAAUAAAAAUGACUUGGCCUCAUAUCGAUUUAUUCUUAAUGGUUUUCAUCCCUAAUUAGACCUUUGAACCAUCAACGCAGUCCAAUUUAUAAAGUUGUUUGGUAGAGCUCUGAGCGUCUUUUAUGAUAAAUCUAGGAGAGCUCUGUCUGACAGUAUUUUUUAAUAGAAAAAUGAAUCUAUGCUAUUAAUUCAGUGAAAUGGUUCGAUAAAGUCUACUAAGAGGGAAGAAAUUUAAAAAGAAAAUAGUUUCUUUGAAUUAUUUUUAUUAUAUAUCUAAAUAUAAUGUAUAUUAAUGUGAUGUGUAUCUUAAAAAAGCUAAAUUAUCUUAUAAUUUGAAUUGAGGUAGUACUUUGCAAAAAAAAAGAGUUUUAUAAGAGAUGGGAGGACAAACAUUCGAUUUAAUAAGUGCGGAAAGAAAUGAUCAUACUUGAGCGGGGGAAAGUGGUACAGGUACAAGGACUUUUUUCCCACGGCAAAGCCCACGCAAGUUCGCAUGCCUAUACAAAAUGGAUUAUCAACGUGGAACAUCCUCGCUGCAAAAGGCCAAAAAAAAACUAUGAACCAACAAAGCAAUUCCAAUUUCCACGUCUAUUUCCCAACACAGACAAUCAUCGCGUGCUGGUGUAACCACCCCGUACCCUACAAGUCCACGUAAACUUUCAUUCGAAUGCAGAAUGCUAGUAUUACAAUACUACACGUGAUCAUAUCCACUAUAUCAUGCCUUGUUUAGUUCCAAAAAUUUAGCAAAAAUGUACAUUGUAAUAUUUCCGUUUGUAUUUGACAAAUAUUAUCUAAUUAUAGCUUAACUAGAUUCAAAAAAUCCGUCUCACAAAUUUCAUACAAACUGUGUAAUUAGUUAUUUUUUUAUCUAUAUUUAAUGCUCCAUGCAUGUGCCGCAAGAUUCAACAUAACGAGAAAUCUGAAAAAUUUUGCAAAUUUUUUAAGAAAUUAAACAAGGCCUAAGGGCUUAGUUCGCACCCUAAAAAGUUUUAGAAUACUGUUGCAUAUGUGUAACUAUAGUAAUUAGUGUCUAAUUGUGGAUUAACUAGGCUCAAAAGAUUAGUCUCGCAGAAUACAUACAAACGGUGCAAUUAGUUAUUUUAUUUAUAUAUUAAUGUUUCACUAGUUAAGUGCCCGUGCGUUGCUACGGGUUUACUUUCAAUUUCAUGACGUACAUCCACAUGAUUAAAAUAUAUAAAAAAAUAUCAUGACAUGCAACAAAAAUUAAAAUUGAUAAUUUCAUUGAGUAUAGAUAUAUAUACUGCUAGCAAACGUGACUUAAUAGUUCAGGUAUAGGCUAGCAAACCUGGCACUCACCUUUGCUAGUUGGGCAUCUCCCUGAACAUUUGAAAUAUCAAAGAAAUAACAAUAUAAUCCUUAUCCUUACAACCAACAAUGGAGCCUGCAGAUCAUGGCCGGCCGACAGUUUAAUUAUUGAGAAACUGCCUUCACAAAAAUAGUAAAUGCAACUUUGAAAAAGGGAUCUGUUGAUAACAUAUUGUUGGAAUGAUUUUUGGCAACUUUAACAUUGAUCCUUCGAUCCAAACAAAGAAAUCACAACAAGCUUAUUUCACCCGAUUGGACAACUGACUUGAACUUUGUAUGCAAUUUCCACUCGGAAUGAAACACAUAAGACACUUGGGCACCCAUUCCUAUAACAUAACAAAGAAUCUCUUCCAAACUGCAUCAGUCAAGGGGAGAGUUUCUUGUGACCAGUUAACAACAAGCUAUAACAUAUAAAUUUUUGCAGCAAGGAACUUAAAUGAGUGGUAAAUUCUUAGGACAUAAAUGUGCAGUGUAUUUAUUUUUAAGCUUUUUUUCCUGUGCUGGUGUCUAAUUAAGGGCCUCUCUUGUAGGAUGGGUUGGAUUUAGGUGUCAACAUUUCAAAACUUGGCUGCCUACUGUUACCACUCAAUAUCAUUGUCUUUUUUUUUUUGCCUGGGUAUUCUUUUGUCCUUCAAAUUACUGAGCAUAGUAGCGGAGCAGCGUGGGCAACCUUAAACUAAAAUGGAGGGAAUUCUGUCAAGAAUAGGCUGCCUGACUCAGCAAUGAGGCAUCUUUGGGGCUGGAGGCUAAUAAGGAAACUAAAGCUUCAAAUAAACACAUUUAGGUAUUGCCCCCUUUCACUGUUUUUUGGUUGAUCCAAGUUUGAAGUGGCUCAUUACUAAGCGAAAAUAUUAUGAUGUACAUCUAGAACCUAGAACUGAAGCAGACAGUAGUAACACUGAAAUUUUCCGCAUUAGUUCCAGGCUUCAUUAAUUCAGAACAUCUAGAAUAGGAGUGCAGGCAAUGCAAUGCUCACAUAUUACGGACCUAGGAGUAUCUACUUACAGAAUAGAUCAGUGCACAUGUAAACUAUAGCAUUAGUAAUUGACACCUUUAUACAAGAGAAACUGAAUCAGAAAUAAAUAAUUUGUUGCCAAAUUCACCAUACCACUUUGAUUUUUUGGAUGCACAGAUUAUAUUUGGUAGACAACUGUCUGCUAUCCAAAUAUCUACACAAAUAAGUUCUGUCUUUGUGCUCUGCAAAUAGCUGCACAACAAAAAUGAGUAACAUGUUAGUUCUCUAACUAUAUGUAGAAAGUGCAGGAUAACAAUGCAUGACUUGGCUGUUGAUUCUUAUAUUAUACUUCAUAACUUUACAAUUGGAACAAACCUUAUGUUAAACACUACUAAAUUACUGGAGCCGGUGGUGGCAUACUAAAUUGUAUUUUUCUUUUCAUGUUAGUAUACAGAGAUUUCGCAUUUUAAACACUCAUGUAUGAAGAUCCUAUUAGGCAUCAUUUAAAAUCAGACAUGAUCCUAUUAGGCAUCAGUUAAAAAUAAUAGCAUUGCAUAAAAAUUACUGGAACCAUUUGGCAUAGUAAACAUUAUGGAGCAACUGAUUAGGACCUUCAUGUGAUUGCUGAGACAUAAUAAGUGUAUUUUUACCAUACAGACACCAAUUUACCGCAAAGUGAAAAGGGAUUAUUAAAAUAUCUGAUUAUUGCAUUUAAUUGUUAGUGGGCAGAUAAUUCUCUGUUCCUAGGAUGGUUUGGCAACUUACUCCUUGUUUACGACUGCCUCCUCGGUGACCAGAGUUGUACGCGCUACCUCGGUGGGCGCUGGCAUUGUUGGUGAUUCCACGACGUUGUUGGAGGCGGCUACCAAGAACUCGAUCCCUACCAAUUCAACGAGCUGAGUCAGUCUUCACGGGAUGCAUCAUGCUGCAAAAGUACCCAAAAAAAGAUCCAAUCCCCAGCCAAACCCACCCAAAAAACCAACGGAAUGGAGUGGAUAACCUGGUUUCAGUUUAGAGCACAUGUUUCAGAGAAAUGACCAAGAAAAAAAAGCAGAAACAUAGUCACUUGAGGAAUGCUAGUAGAUAUGAGUAUAGCUCAUGGUCACAAGGUCUGAAACAAUUGACUUGCACUACACAUAGAACAAGAGCUAGCGUGUGGGGCAUCUGGUCGUGCAUUAGAGGAGUUUCAAAAUUUUAAGUUGCCAUUAUAUUAUAUAUCAUCGAAAUGCUCAAAUUCACCCAUACAUCUAAGUUAUCAUUAAUAGAAAAACAUCAAAUUCUAAACCGAGCAAGCAAAUUUAAAAGACUACUUAAAUAAAGAACCUCCAACAAAUCAAAAGAAUCAAUUAUAUAGACGUAGCAGGUAGCCAACAAUAGCAAAAUCCAAUCAACAAAAGCAUUGUUGUUCCUUGUUUUACUGCUACGUCCAUAAGCAUAGGGUUGUUUUACAAAUGGAAAUACCAUCUAGUCAAUUGUCAAAUUGUGCAUCUAUAUUAAACUGCUCUAAGAAAAUUUAGUGUGCAGGCAAGUAACAGGAAGAGUUAAACUGUAAAAACACAUUGCAGUGAUCUUUGAAAGCUCCAGUCUCUAAUGUAAGAUACUGUGAAUAUUCUUUGAAGUUGAAUUAUCUUUCUGCCAUAACAGGGACUUGGUAUUCUAACUCUGGAACAGUCUUGUUAAUGGUAAAAAUGGGUAGGCCAAUAUAAGGUGCUUCUUGUAUCUUAAUAUCUAUCAGGAGUACAAUGACUCUUUGGAUAUGAUUUAUGGCUGUUAAGGAACCACAUACAUCACGCCGUACAGUUUAAACCCAAAAGUUGUACCACAUAUCUAUGCACAUGCUAACAAUUUCAAAGAGCAAAAAAUGUCCUAAAAUAAAAUCACAUAAGCAAUGAUGGAAUUUCCUCCAAUCUAGAACCUUCUGCGUCACAUGAAUAUACUGAUUGGGGAAGCUGGAGGUUUCAGAUCACCUUUGCAGUGGGGAUCGACAUCUUUGGGGAGGCCGAUGCAAGCAUGAAGCCGCUGAUGGUUGAGCUCGGACUCACACAGCGGCUUGGCAGGCCUUGAUGCCACCGCUCCUCACCGUCGACCGCGCACUACCAUCGUUCGACAUGGCCAGCCACGAUUCGGUGUCCAGUGUUUAGGGUUGAGGAUUUGGUUAUAUUGAUUAGUUUCGUUGAGUCAUUUCAAAAGUUGACCUCGUUUCUAAAUCAGCCAAAAGAGGCUUUACCUGCAAAAUUACAAAAAGAAUAAGGGAUGCAGGAAAAAUUAGGAUUCAUGGUUUCAUAAGUUAAAAAAGAGUAAAUGCAACACGUUGUAGGUGUUCUUUAAUCUACUAAAGGUACAAAUAUGAAAUCCAAUUCUUUAAUCAAUUGAAGAUACAAAUUUGAAAUCUAAUCAACAAAGAACUCAGUGCUGCAAGUAAACUGCAGGUCGACCCAAAAAUAGACAUUUUCUCAAACACCUAGACUACGAGAAGUGGUAGGGCUGUAGCUUAGAACAACUAAUAAGCACUUUUCCCAUAAAAAUCAACAUAAACACAAUCCCAAUCUCUGGCAAAUUUCUCAUCCCAAUCUCUGGCACAACACAGGAGCACAGGUUGGUAGAUCCGGAUAGUAAAAAACAGGCAGCAGAGGGAGCUCACCGGGGGCAGGGCACCUGAGCACACGAGAGGUGCGGGACGGUGGGACGGACGCCGCUGCACCUGGAUCCACGAGCUGCGGCUCCUCCUCCCUCCUCACAAGCGUAGCCGGCGACGAAGAAGAAGGCCAAUGGCCAGGAACGACAGAGGGAGGCGGGGCUGCGAUGAGAGGUGAGACGUGCGGAGGAGAGGCGGAUGCGGAGGAGGCAGGGCGGGAGAGGCGGGGCGGAGGAGGCGGAUGCGCGCCGUCGCCCGUUCCGGAGUCCUCUCCUUUCUGAUGCGGGAGCGAGGGGAGUGCGUGGUUGAUUUCGGUGCGGGAGCGAGGGGAGCAGCAUGCACAGAGAGGAGGGCAUCGAGGGCGGAUGUGGAGUCGUGCGCGGGCGGCGGUUGCGUAAGGGGGAGGUGCGUGGGUUCGAGCCCGGGAUAUUAGCAUGCGAGGGGAGCAAUUAGCGCGAGGGGGGCGAUUAGCGUGGGGCUGACGAUGACCUCCGGCUCUUUUUAGUUUAGAGAUGCGUGUAUCCAAACAUUCAAUGGAUGAGGUGAAAAGUUUUUAGGUGGAAACUAAACAAGACAUGAUAUUUUCUAGUUCCUCCCCAAAAGUUUACACAUUAUCCUACCAAAUAUUUAGAAACAUACAUGAAGUAUUAAAUAUAGACUAAAAAUAACUAAUUCUACAGAUUGGAACAACUUUGUGAGAUAAAUUUUUUAAACCAAAUUAGUAUAUGUUUUGACAAUAAAGUGCUAUAAUAACCCAUACGCUAAUAAUUGAUUAAUUAGAUUUAAUAAAAUCGUCUCACGAAUUACUGACGUAUUUUAUAAUUUUUUUAUUAGUAUCCAAUCAUUGAUACGAUAUCCUCAUAUGACAUUCCAUGUGACAUUUCAAAACUACUUUAUACCAACUAAACAAGGGCCUUGUUUACUUCCCGAAAUUUUGGGCCGAAAUGCAAAAAAAAUUGCAAUUUGGCCUUUUGGAAGUAAACGGGCCCGAAAUUUUUUGGUACCAGUUUCACAGGCCGAAAUCGGUGCCAGCCCAAACAUCCACGCCCGGCCGCGAGCGGUGUUAUACGCGGCCACCCGCACGAACCCUAACCCUAUCCGCUCACUCUCGCACACCGGCCGCCGCCCUGCUCUCCUCCCUCCCGUCCGUGCCCUCGGCCGCCGCCUUGUUCUCCUCCCUCGCGUCCGUGCUCCACCACUAGAUCCACCCUUCUCCUGUACUCUCCUCGCCUGUACCUUGCGAACCAUGGCUGGGCAUGGCAGCGGCGGCUUCGACGGCGACCAGGGUGCCUUCAACCGGAGCCACAACAGUGGAUCUGGGGCCGGCGGCAUGACGCGCGACUUCUGGGGCUCCUCCGGUCCAAGCCCCUUCGGCUCUGGCGCUGGUUCAAGCUCCUACCCGAACCCGCACCUAGGGUUCGACGGCCUCGACAUCAACGCUGGCGAGCAAUGGGCGCCAGACGACGUGGACCACUACGCCGACCAUCUCCGCGGCAGCAGGGACCUCAUGCCGCCUCCCGUUCGAGCUCCGUCGGUCGGCGGUUCUCGGCGUCCGUUGUUCCGCCCGCCUCGGCAAACGGGUCAAACUGAGCCGUCAGCCGAGGACGGCUUCGGCGGCCCGCUGUCUGCUGACGGGGGCAGCAACCCCCGAUCUGCACGCACGCCAUCACGAGGCCGAGGACGCGGUCACCGUGCACACGCAUCGGUCGGGAAGGUACAAAACACCCUGCCCCAUCUUUAUAAAUGUUGCAUGUUCUAUUGUAUUAUAAGUUCGAUGCUUACAGUGCGUGGUUCAAUGCUCUACUUUUCAAUGAUCUGCUCGUUCAAUGCUCUGCAUGUGUACCAUAUUCUUUAAGUUUGAAUAAGAUAGUUUUUGCAUGAUACACCACAACAAACACUAACAGAAACCGCAAACCAACCUAUUUGAAUAAGAUAGUUUUUUCAACAUGUUUAUGAUACCACGAGAUUUAUGCCUUCAUUCAUAGUCUUCUGAAAUUAUCAGAUUACGUUAUUCAUGUUAUAUAUAAUUUGUGCUCUCGGUUAUCACGGUUUAGGUCCACAAGAGCAAAGCAAAUUGGACAACCGAUAACCUAAUGAAGUACUACGAGUGCUAUGUUUUAGAGAUGCACCAUGGGAAUUGCUCUGGAGGCCAAAUGAACAAAUAUGGCUGGAAGGGGUUGAGCAGUAGGUACUAUGCUGCAACAGGUUUGCUGCACGAUAGGGAACAAUUGCAGGGCAAGCAGAGGACCCUUAAGAAGCUGUGGAGGUUCUGUAACCUUGCACGUACUCACACUGGAGUUAACAUAGAUGCCGACGGGUUCAUCCAAGCUACAGACAAGUGGUGGAACGACAACGCUACGGUAUGUGUCUCAUGGACUAUACAUUGCAAUUCACUUGUACAGCUCCAACAAUAUGUAAUUGUUUCACUGCCUGCAGGAAUGCGAGUUCAUGAAGAUUAGGUCAAAUGGACUGCCUCCGUACUUAGAUCAGCUCGACGAGAUGUUUGCCGGGAACACAGUUGAUGGCUCCUCAUCGUACGUUCCAGCUGCUGGUCCAACAACUCAAGUGCAUGAAGUUACAUCUGAUGACGAAGGAGCAGAUGACGAGGACACCCCUACCCCUAUGAGCCUUGGGACCAAAAGGACAGGAAGCACUAGCACAACUGCAACGAGCCCCAACAAGAAGACCAAAAACACAUACGCGAGGGUCAUGAACCAGCACAUGAACUCGCAUUUGGCGACGCUGCCAAGGAGGAGAAGAAGAAGAAGCUGCCGGUGCUCAUGUACUUCCACAGCGGCGGCUUCUGCCUAGGCACGUUCUCGCAGCCCAACUUCCACUCCGGGUGCCUCCGUCUCGCGUCGGAGCUGCCCGCCGUCGUGGUCUCCGCCGACUACCGCCUCGGCCCCGAGCACCGCCUCCCCGCCGCCAUCGACGACGCCGCGGCCGCCCUGUCCUGGCUACGCGACCAGCACGCAACGGCCGUCGGCGUCGCGGGCGCCCAUCAUCACCAUCGCUGGCUCGCCGAGUCGGCCGACUUCACCAGGGUGUUCGUGGCCGGCGAGUCGUCGGGCGCCAACAUGUCCCACCACGUCGCGGUGAGGCACGGGUCCGGCGAGCUCCCGCUCGCCCCGCUGCGCGUCGCCGGGCACGUCCUGCUGACGCCGUUCUUCAGCGGGGUCCAUCGCACCGCGGCCGAGGCCUCGCCCUCGCCGCCGCCGGCUGCCGUCUCGCCGCCGUCGUUCACGACCGAGAUGGCCGACACGAUGUGGCGUCUGUCGCUCCCCGUGGGCGCGACAAGGGACCACCCCGUGACGAACCCGUUCGGCCCCGGCAGCCCCGCGCUGGGCGCCGUGGCGUUCCCGCGGGUCCUCGUGGUGUCCGCCGGCCGCGACAUCCUCCACGAACGCGUGCUGCGCUACGCGGCGAGGCUUCAGGAGAUGGAGAAGCCCGUGGAGGUCGUCGUCCUGGAGGAGCAGGAGCACGCCUUCUUCUCCCGCCAGCCAUGGAGCCACGGGACCAGCGAGAUGAUCCGAGUCGUGCCGCGCUUUGUCUACGGAGAGAACUGCGCGGAGUGCAAGUAAUAGUGCGGUGGUUGGUCUAAUAAAAACGUGUUGUGUUCUUGGCACCUUGCUUCUUGAUUCUCUCCAUGUAGGAGUAUAGAACAUGGAAGGCUGGACUUGAACACUGUCUAUAGUCGAACGAAUAACCGUCACAUAAAGUUUUCACUUGCUUCAUUUUUUUUUGGAAACUCCUCUAUUUAUUCAUUGUUCAUAGAGAAAAAGCCACAUACUCCAACAGGCAGGUUUAGAAACCAAACAACAUACCUAGGGACUCAUAAAAUCAGCAUUGAAAUUGCACCCUAAUUCCACUUCCGCGGUCAUACACUACAUUCAAAUCUAGCGAAGGAUAAGUUAGGCCUUGUUUAGUUCCCUUUUUUUUAAUUUGGGUACUGUAGCAUUUUUUGUUUUUAUUUGGUAAAUACUGUCCAAUCAUAAACUAACUAGGCUCAAAAGAUUUAUCUCGCGAUUUAUAAGCAAACUGUGAAAUAAAAUUUUGUUUUCGUCUAUAUUUAAUACUCUAUGCAUGUGCCGAAAGAUUCGAUGUGACAACAAAUCUUGAAAAGUUUUUUAUUUUUGGGGUGAACAACGUUCUUUUCUAGAAAAAAUAUUUUUGCAACUUUCUAUUUUUUGAAAAGUUACCGAGUCAUACACAUAACUUUUAUGCAUAAUAUUACGCUGGGUUUAACUUAUUACCACAACUUAUAUUCACAUCUUUGACAAUAUGAUAUUUUGCAGAGUAGAACUUAUUAGCAUAAUUUUUAUCAUGUUCUUUUAUACAGUUUUUGCAAAAAAUUAUCAUAAUUUUUUAACACAACUUAGCACGAAGACUUUUCUAUAUAUUUUAUGAUAAUAAUUUUCAACCUAAAAUUUUCAGGUAUAAUUUUUUAUAACAAUUUUACAAAUACCAUAACUUAUACAUAUAAAAUUUAUCACGAUAAGUUGUCUAUAAUAAAAUUACAUAAAUACUAUAUCAAAAAUUCUAUAAUAAAAAGUCGUGGUAAUAAAUCUAAUUUACCUGUAAUUUACGAGACGAAUCUUUUGAGCCUAGUUAGUCUAUAAUUGGACAAUAUUUAUCAAAUACAAAUGAAAGUGCUACUAUUUCUAUUUUGUAAAAAAUUUUAAACUAAACAAGGCCUUGGUAGCAAUAGAGUGCUACGGCCA
Molecule: long non-coding RNA, 79945 nt
Filed under: Sorghum bicolor (sorghum)
Lineage: Eukaryota; Viridiplantae; Streptophyta; Magnoliopsida; Poales; Poaceae
Description: long non-coding RNA (SBIC_LNC004068)
Source: RNAcentral